AGAAGGCCGCCAAGUCCCCCAAGAAGGCCACCAAGGCUUAGAAACACGCAUAUGUUGCUGUAGGCUGUUUAAUGCUUCGUAACUGUGGUCGUUGUUCUGCUAAUGGUGUCGAUGUAAUCUUUGUUGCUAAGAGAAAUGUCAGAAAUCUCUCUGAUUUGCCUAAAUUCUUUGCUCUGUCGGCUGUUCUUGUUUCCCAGUGUUCGAUUCUGACAUUCCCUUAACAGCAAUGCCCACCAGGUGCUCGAUCUCCGUUAGACAGCGCCGGAGAUGAGAUGGAAGGGAAGUUUGCCCGAUAGCACUGCGUGCUAGCUGCUGGCUACGGCUGUCACUUCGGCGAUCCCUUCCGUGCCUACAAAUCCCCACACGGUAAUACUCCGGCAACUCCAUCCACCGCCAUGGCGUCCGGCGCUACCGUGUCUGUACAAAUUGCCCGCGGCUGAAUCUUCUGUGCACCUGACUUGCUAGACGGAAUGCUUGACAAGAGCUGUGGCGUCGAAACAACACCACUUGGCCGCUGUCAGCUUCUCGGCCCCAACAUUGUUGCUAGAGUGCUACAGGCCCGGGCAACAUGUUCGUGGCGAUGCUGCUCGGCUCGACGGCCUUGCCGUUGACUGAUUGAAUCAUGGUCUUACAUGGUGAGUGCGCUGUGGCCUCUGCAAAGUUUUUCCAGAGUAGUUGUCCCAUGCAGUUGCCUUUAUCCAGAGAGCUUAAUCGCCCAGUUGCUCUAUCUCUGGCAGUGGGCAAAUUUUUCUUUGAGUUAAUUACACCUGUAGUACAAGAACUUGCAGCGAACAUACAAAAACUAAAAAACCCAGAAAAAUGGUACAAUAACUUAUCUAACAACACAAUUUGAUACAAUUUCCGUUAAUCCUAAUGGUGUGGGUCUCACUUGUCAGUCAGACAGGGAAAUAAAAGCAACGAAAAAUAGCGUGCUCUGCCGUGAUUCAAACCUCGGACACAAUCUUAGAAGUCUAGGCGCUUGACGACUGUACCAUUCUAUUUUUUUUGCCAAUGUAGAGGCAGAUUUGUUUCUAUACCGUAGUUUCAGACACGUCCCACUCCGCUCGCCACCUUCGCUGACUUAUCUUUUUAUUAUGUGUGUCUUUUUUUUAUUUUUUUUUCAGAUCUUAGGUUUCUUUGGUUUUUCCUUAUUAUUAUUUUGCAUUUUAUUUUUUAUAUAGGUUUUGCAAUAUACGGCAAACUUUUUUUGAUAUACACACUGAACAUUUUAGUAUACGAUAAACAUUUUUUUCGCAGGAGAAUGGUGGGUUUUAUUCCUCGGUAAUAGUGUUACAAUAUGCUAAUACAAAGGUAGGAACACUGUCUAAAACAUGGUGCAACUAACAAGCGAUGCUACCUCCUGUGUGGUCAAUAUUGGCAAGACUAUAAGCAACCCUACUUUAACGAGAUACAAUUUUCCGCGGAGUAAACCCAUGAGGUUCCAGAAGCUUUUUGAUUUCCAGUAUUUAGAUGUCCAUAAGCUGAAAGAUCCAAUGAGUUGUCCGUCAAUGCAGCAAACUGUCAGAUUGAAUAAUAGGUAACCUUGACCGUUGCAUGCUCAUUCUCAGUCCUUCUAAAACAUCGCUGAUCUCGGAUUCAAGCAUAUCUUUGCAAAAGAAAAGAUAAUGAUAUGUUGAGAAAAUGACUGCUCCAUCCUAGUCACAUUGAACAUUUUUUAAUAUAUGAACAUUUUUAAUACGCACUAAACAUUUCUUUCAUAUAUGGUGAACUCCUUUUAAUAUAUAUACUGAACCUUUUUAUAAAACACAUACUAAACAAUUUACUAAAAUAUAUGUGCUAUAUUAGUAGGUUUUUAGAAUAUCCAGCUUCUAAAAAACAAUAGCCGGAUUUUUGGUGAAAAACAAACUAAAAAUUGUAUAAAGUUAUCCAAUCAAACUGCAUUGCGGAUGGAUGCUGUUAGCAUAUAUAUUCAAGUAUUUAAACAUGCAAGUUGAAGCAUAUGACAAUCAACAUGUGUCCCCAAACAUAUGACAAUCAACAUGUGUCCCCAAACUUCCGAUGUAUCCUGUGUAUAUAUAUGCUUAAUGCUUCUGCCAUAGAUGUACUGCCGCACUUCAAUCAUGCUUCUCAAAUUUGUCCGAUACAUCCUGCCAUUUAUGUUGUGUUAGAUCAAAGCCGUCUCUCUUGUCACAUAUGUUUCUAAUGUACAGAUGUUUUGCACUGCAUGAUGCCAACUAUGCAUCAUUGGUUUCUCAAAUAUUCUGUACUACCUACUCCCCACAAUGUCGAAUGCCUAUCCUUCUGCUUCUACAUGCUACUAGUUAUGCUGACGUAGCUCAGGAUUAGUGCUUCCAAUAUCCAUGAUUCAUAAGCAUUGUGCAUAUGUUUCUUUCAUUUAAUGCAGUUUACCAUGCAUUCUUCUUUGAUAUAGAUUUUUUUGCUUCCAAACCAAAUUAUGUAAACUUUUUGGAAUGUAGGUGACAGAACCAUUUGUGAGUCCUGCUCGCCGCUGCCCUCGAUGACGCGGUUACCAUAGCCUCAAGUUGUAUGUGCAACAUUAACUUACGAUGGUGUGGAAGAACAAAAGAGCCCCUGGCCAUGCGACUCAUGCCAUGCCCAGCGACGAGAUCGUGGGUGGGCAAGAUUAGAUGCUAUUAGCGAUGAUCUCCAUCGAAGCGGCAAUGUGCUAGUAUCUAGCCCGAGCUGAAAAAAAAAGAUCUAUUUGGAUCCAAAUAAUAUUUUCUUCGGAAGGAGAUUCUAACAUAUCUAGAAGCAAUGUUUGAUUUAUGGAAACAUCUUUUUUUCUUCUAUUGUAAGCAAUUCCAUGUCACACUAGAAACAAUUUUUCGGCCACUGUAUUGUCUAUGCAUAACAAAACAAAAUACACCGCUAUUUUUUGUGAAAAAAAUACACUGCUAUUUUGUACAUAAAUUUUCAGUAGAUCAAAGCAAUCAUUUGUUGGUAUCAAAGAAAUUUCUCAACAAGUAAUGCGACUAAGUUACAUGUUUUUUCUGCUUCAUACAACAUGUGUUCAUACUUCCAUGGAAGCAUGCUUCGAGUACAUUAUGUUCCUCUGCUUCAUACAACUUGCUUUCAUGUUUCAAUCGAUGCAUGCUUCAAAUUUGAUCACCUUGUCCAACGUCGUCAACGACUUCACACCAUGUCGGUUCACUAAUAUAUAAAGCACGCAAGGAAGCAAGCACAUGGAUAGCAGAGUGAAGCAAAUAUUAUGGUGGAGACAUAAUACAUGGGAUAUAUGAGAAUAUGAAGCCUACGAUUUUGGAGAUAGGAAUGAAGCAAAUACUUAGGUCAUUGGAAACAUGUUAUACGAACCAAUGAAGCAUGUUAAUUUUCACUUGAUACGGGGGCAAUUUUUAAUGUAGUUUUGGGACACUGGAAAUAUAAACGAUUUUAGGUAUCUAUUUAGUUGCAUUGGAAGCAAAUUUUGGUACUAACACUGGAUACAGAUUUCGCCUCAUAUGGAAGCAAACUGCAUGGACUACCUGAUGGCUCUCCCUCCGCUCCUCUCCUUCCCCUCCCCUGCUUCCUGGUCGGGAUGACCUGGUUGGCGUCGUGGCGGCGACCACCCUCCCUCCCUUCCCUCCUCACCCCUCCCCUGUGCUGCGACGUGCCGGCGCAGUGAUGGCGGCGCCCCCGCUCCCUCCCCUGUUCGCCUCCUUACGCCGGUUCCAUCCCACGGUUCUUCCUGCUCGGUGGGCAGGGAUGCUGGAUCUGUGGUUUUCCCCGCCUCCCCCCCGCUGCUCUCGCCACCGCCGCUCGCUCGCCUCCCUCCCAUGGUCGUCCCCGCCGCGUCGCAUGUCUCUGCCUACCUCCCCCUGCCAUCCUCUCCGCCCUGCGCCCUCGAAUCGGUUCUGGGCCCUGGAUCCGGGCGCUAGCGAUGACUCUUCCGAGGACGAUGAACCGCUGCUCCUGCCGGAUCUGGGGAGCGCUCGGGGUCCGACGUCGAGGUCGCGGCCCUCUUGCCCCUCUACCUGCUCCCUCUCCCCUUCCUCCUCUGUGGAUGUCUCUUCCUCGGUGCCGUUGGCCUCGGGCGACCGUCCUUGGACGCAGGUGGGGCAUCGUCGCCGCCUCAAGGUUCUUUCCCCCGUGCUGCGGCUGUCUGGGCCGGUGGCUUCCUUGGCGCUCCCCUCUCCCCUCUCUGGCGCUUCCAUCUCUCCUCCUUCUCCUUCGUCUGCGGCGGCGCACUCGCCGGCGGCGGGUCCUCCUAGGGCGGACGGAACCCUAGCUGUGUGGGUGGUUGCGGCUGUGCGGCUUGUGGGUCACCUGUGCCCGCUGGGCUGACCGCACAUCUUGGGCCGCCCCCUGGCCCAGUUGGUGCCCCCCGCCUGUGGCUCCUCGGCCUGAGGCCUCCCCCUCCUCCCAUCCCCCGUGGGCCUAGCCCAUCCUAACCCAACCCCUUCGCAUCGUUCUGGGCCCAGUCCGGCUCCCCGUGGCUAUUUAUGGAUCCCUCGUGGCGCCCGCGACCUAACCCUAGGGUUUCCUGCCUCCCGCUCCCAGAUCCGCCGCUUCUUCCACCUAGCCAGAUCUAUGUCCCUCCUUCCUCCUCCGCCCCCACUCUCCGUCUCCUUCGCCGCGGCGGUCAUGUCUCGCGAGCCGUCGGCCGACCGCAACGUCAAUGGCAAGCGACCGCUCGAGCAAGGGGCGGACGCGGCUGCCGAGCUGCAUUACGUGGCUGAGCUUCGGGCCAAGCUUCAGCGCGAUCUGGAGGCGCAGGAGCGGGAGCGGUGGGGGACGCCGCCGCCUUGGUUUCUCGAAGAGGAACGACGCAAGGCCGCCAUGGUCGUGCCCCCUCGUAGCCCAAUGCUGGUCGGGAGGGCGGUUGGGGUUCCACGGCGCCUGGCCCGUCUGCUGGUGCUGCUCCGGCUGGCCCUGGUCCUGACGACCACCCGCCGGGCUUCCCCAACGCCAACGCCUUCUCCUCCUCCGCCCCUCCUCUACUCCCACCCCACCUAGGCCGCCCAUCCCUCCCAUCCCGGUUGCUCCCUCGCCCGGCCCCAGUGACAACCGUCGUUUCGCGCCUCCGGGCCCUGAUCUGUAUCGGGGUUUCGGUGGGGCGGUCAGAUUUGGUGGUGCCUCUCACAACUUCAACAACAAUGGCGGCUUUGGUGGCUAGUCCGGUAACAAUUCCAAAGCUAUUAAAUUCCGUCCUCGUGAUCCUCCCGUGACGGGGGCCAGAGCUCGGGGGCUUUUGGUCCGGCCGUCCCUAUCUCUAAUCCUAGUUCUGGUGCUGCCCCUCCUCCUGCUGCGUCAGGGAUGACUUGCUUUGCCUGCCACCGCCCCGGCUACUUCCAGGUCGGGUGUAAAUUUCCACCCUUCUGUCUUAUCUGCCGCGCCGACGGCCACUUACUACUGAGUGUCCCAAUCGUCGUGCGCCCCCUCCUUCAAGAUGUUUGGCUAUGCCCUUCCUGGUUGUGGCUUCUUCGGCAUGGUUGGCUCGGCCGACAAUCUUGGCCCUCCUGUCGCCCCUCUCAACACUGCGGUCAUGCGAGUCUUGUCAGAUGAGGUUCCCAUCCAGCUUAUCUAGGACGAGCUCAAGGCUUGGGACGCGGAUGGCUGGGAUUGCCGUCUCGAGCAAUUAGGUCCGAAAGAAUUCUCUCUCAUCUUCCCUUCGCCUGAAAGCCUCACAUGGUGCUCUCGUGGGGCAAAUUUCACCUUGGCCAUUGACAACAUCUCUGUCAAAGUGGUGGCUGCCUCCUCUGAACGCAAAAGCUUCAACCAUCUUUCCGAUCAUUGGGUCCUCCUGGACGACGUUCCUCCAUUGCUUCGUAAUGCUCCUUCUAUGAUGGCCUUUGCUGAACUCAUUGGGAAGCCCAUUGAGGUGGACGAGGAAUCCAUUAGCCGCCCGGGCCCCGUGCGCGUGAAAGUCUGGUGUCGUUUUUCGGAGCGGAUUCGGGGCUUUCUGGAGAUUUAUCCUCACACCAAAGGCUUUCGCAUCAACAUGCGCCUGGAAACCCCCCCACUCCUUCCACCCCCAAAUUGCUGCUUCAUUCAAACCUGAUGACAAGAACAAUGAGGAUCCGAAGGGGGACCAAUCCAAAAACAAUGAUGGCAACUCUAGCGCCUCCCCCUUCUCGGAAUCAACAUGGAACAACAUGGGCUCGGUGGCUAGAGGGCUCUACCCAAACCGUAAGCCGACCCCCAAGGGCGAUCACAAUGAUGUUGUGGAGGGAAGCAAGGACUAAUUGGGUGUCUCUGUCGAUGGGUAUGUCUCAGUGUGCUCCAACAUGCCGGCGAGGCUAUCCUCUCCAUCCCUUUCCGGCAUCGUGGACUCGCCGGAGCCUGAGCUUGAGGGCUCUCCGAUUCGGGUGGCGGUCUGAUGUCUACUACACAACCUUCUUCUUGUAGACGUUGUCGGGCCUCCAAGUCCAGAUGUUUGUAGGACAGUAGCAAAUUUCCCUCAAGUGGAUGACCUAAGGUUUAUCAAUCCGUGGGAGUCAUAGGAUGAAGAUGGUCUCUCUCAAGCAACCCUGCAACCAAAUAACAAAGAGUCUCUUGUGUCCCCAACACACCCAAUACAAUGGUAAAUUGUAUAGGUGCACUAGUUCGGCGAAGAGAUGGUGAUACAAGUGCAAUAUGGAUGGUAGAUAUAGGUUUUUGUAAUCUGAAAAUACAAAAACAGCAAGGUAACUAAUGAUAAAAGUGAGCGAAAACGGUAUUGCAAUGCUUCGAAACAAGGCCUAGGGUUCGUACUUUCACUAGUGCAAGUUCUCUCAACAAUAAUAACAUAAUUGGAUCAUAUAACUAUCCCUCAACAUGCAACAAAGAGUCACUCCAAAGUCACUAAUAGCAGAGAACAAACGAAGAGAUUAUGGUAGGGUACGAAAUCACCUCAAAGUUAUCCUUUCUGAUUGAUCUAUUCAAGAGUCCGUAGUAAAAUAACACGAAGCUAUUCUUUCCGUUCGAUCUAUCAUAGAGUUCGUACUAGAAUAACACCUUAAGACACAAAUCAACCAAAACCCUAAUGUCACCUAGAUACUCCAAUGUCACCUCAAGUAUCCGUGGGUAUGAUUAUAUGAUAUGAAUCACACAAUCUCAGAUUCAUCUAUUCAAACCAACACAAAGUACUUCAAAGAGUGUCCCAAAGUUUCUACCGGAGAGUCAAGACGAAAACGUGUGCCAACCCCUAUGCAUAGGUUCAUGGGCGGAACCCGCAAGUUGAUCAUCAAAACAUACAUCAAGUGGAUCACGUGAUAUCCCAUUGUCACCACAGAUAAGCACGGCAAGACAUACAUCAAGUGUUCUCAAAUCCUUAAAGACUCAAUCUGAUAAGAUAACUUCAAAGGAAAAACUCAAUCCAUUACAAGAGAGUAGAGGGGGAGAAACAUCAUAAGAUCCAACUAUAAUAGCAAAGCUCCCGAUACAUCAAGAUCAUACCACCUCAAGAACACGAGAGAGAGAGAGAGAUCAAACACGUAGCUACUAGUACAUACCCUCAGCCCCGAGGGUGAACUACUCCCUCCUCGUCAUGGAGAGCGCCGGGAUGAUGAAAAUGGCCACCGAUGAGGGAUUCCCCCUCCGGCAGGGUGCCAGAACAGGGUCCCGAUAUGUUUUUGGUGGCUACAGAGGCUUGCGGCGGCGGAACUCCCGAUCUAUUCUGUUCCCCGAAGUUUUUAGGGUAUAUGGAUAUAUAUAGGCGAAAGAAGUCGGUCAGGGAAGCCACAAGGGGCCCACGAGGGUGGAGGGCGUGCCCAGGGGGGUGGGCGCGCCCCCUGCCUCGUGCCUUCCUCGUUGCUUCCCUGACGUAUACUCCAAGUCUCAUGGAUUGCUUCCGUUCCAAAAAUAACUCUCCCAAAGGUUUCAUUCCGUUUGGAUUCCGUUUGAUAUUCCUUUUCUUCGAAACACUGAAAUAGGCAAGAAAACAACAAUUUGGGCUGGGCCUCCAGUUAAUAGGUUAGUCCCAAAAAUAAUAUAAAAGUGUAUAAUAAAGCCCAUAAACAUCCAAAACAGAUAAUAUAAUAGCAUGAAUACUUCAUAAAUUAUAGAUACGUUGGAGACGUAUCAACGUCCUCAAGCUUAAUUCCUGCUCGUCCUCGAGUAGGUAAAUGAUAAAAGAAAUAAUUUAUGAAGUGUGAAUGCUAGCAGGUGCACAAGUUUGAUCAAUGAUAAUUUCAAUCACCUUUUCUAGCAUCAUUAUAUAUCAUAACAGUAGCUCAACUCAUAGAACUUCUCAUGAUCAAGUAACAAGCUAUUCACAUGUUAAAGUAUAGAUCAUAAACUUUCUUGAAAACUAACAAACCAUGUUAUCGGUCAUCAAACAAUUACAAUUCAUCUUAUUUUCAGGAGGAGUCUAUGUCAGAGUUUUGAUUUAGCAAAUCCCACAUACUCAACUAUCAUAUAGUCUUCCAUGAUUCCUACCACUCAAAGCAUAUUUUUAGAACAAAUAGUAUUCAUUGAACACAGAGAAAGAUAGGGGCUUAAUGUUUCGCCUCCCAACCUUUUACCUCAAGGGUAAUGUCAACAAUAAUAAUUCAUGAUCAAAUAUAUUUGAAUGUCCAUAUAUGCUUAGAUCUUUCCAUCACAUGAUGCUUGCCAACUAAAGAGUAGGUUGGAAUGAGAAGGAAUACUACCGACUCUUGCAUAAAAGUAAAAGAUAGGCCCUUCACAGAGGGAAGCAGGGAUUUGCAGAGGUGCCAGAGCUCGAAGCUAAAACAGAGAUGAAAAUAAAUUUGAGAGGUAUGCUUUCAUUGUCAACAUAACAACCAAGAAUCCCAAUAUCUUCCAUACUAGAUACGUUAUAGGUGUUUCCCACGCAGAAAGGUAAAGUUUUUACUCCCCCUCCACCAACAUUCACACUCCAAGGCUUUUCCAAAACAAUGGGUGCCGUCCAACUAUCAACAUUCCUGGGGGAGUUUUGUUUAAAUUAUUUGCGAAUUUGUUUUUGAUCUUUUGAUCAUAGGACCGGGCAUCCCAGUUACCAGCCAUUUUCUCGUGAAUGAUGAGCGGAGUCCACUCAUCGUGAGAAUAACCCACCUAGCAUGGAAGAUACUGAUAGCCCCUAGUCGCUACAUGAGCGAUUCUGGCAUACAAAACAGAUUAUUAUUUGAAGGUUUAGAGUUUGGCACAUGCAAAUUUACUUGGAACGACAGGUAAGUACCGCAUAUAGGUAGAUAUGGUGGACACUCAUGGAAGAAACUUGGUUCAAGGCGUUUGGAUGCACAAGCAGUAUUCCCGCUUAGUAUAGAUAUUUUGGCUAGCAAAGGAUUCUAAAUAGCAAGCACCACAUGUUAGAGGAUCCAUAACAAUAUAACUUCUAUACAAAUAUACCCAAGCAUAACUCAUUGUGUUGUCUUCCUUGUCCAACUUCAACUAAUUUGCUCAGGUUUGAAAAUAAUUAAUGGUGCUCACAAUCAUAGAAGAUGUCCAAGAUAGUAUUAUAUGUGAAAUCUCUCUUCCUUCAAUAUUCUUUCAUGAAUUGUUCAAGUGACCAAUACAACGUUUGCUAACCUUCAAUAAAUUUACCACCUCUACUUCUUAUAUGUAAAGUCAUUACUCCCCAUGGGAUAAGCAUAUGAAACAUAUAUAAUUUCAGAUUUACGAUAUUCAAUUCAUUCAACCAUUUACUCAUAGGAUAUAAGUGAAGCACACGAGUAAAUGGCAAACUACUUCAAAAAGAUAUAAGUGAAGAUCAAUGAGUAGUUAAAUAAUUAUGUAGCUAUGUGAAGACUCUCUCUCAUUUAAGAAUUUCAGAUCUUGGUAUUUUAUUCAAACAGCAAUCAAGUCUAAAGAAAAUAAAAUGACGCUCCAAGCAAAACACAUAUCAUGUGGUGAAUAAAAAUAUAGCUCCAAGUAAAGUUACUGAUGAACGAAGACGAAAGAGGGGAUGCCAUCCGGGGCAUCCCCAAGCUUAGGCUUUUGGUUGUCCUUGAAUAUUACCUUGGGGUGCCUUGGGAAUCUCCAAGCUUAGGCUUUUGCCACUCCUUAUUCCAUAGUCCAUCGAAUCUUUACCCAAAACUUGAAAACUUCACAACACAAAACUUAACAGAAAAUCUCGUGAGCUCCGUUAGCGAAAGAAAACAAAACACCACUUCAAGGUACUGUAAUGAAAUCAUUAUUUAUUCAUAUUGGUGUUAAAUCUACUGUAUUCCAACUUCUCUAUGGUUUAUAAACUAUUUUACUAGCCAUAGAUUCAUCAAAAUAAGCAAAUGACACACUAGAAUCUGUCAAAAACAGAACAUUCUGUAGUAAUCUGUAACUAACGCAAACUUCUGGAACUCAAUAAAUUCUACCAAAAUAGGAAGACCUAGAUAAUUUGUUUAUUGAUCUACUGCAAUUGGAAUCAGUAUUUUAUCACGUUCUGGUGAUUUUUAACAAUUAUUUUCGUGAGCAGAAAGUUUCUGUCUUUUUCAGCAAGAUCAAAUAAUUAUCAUCCAAGAAGAUCCUAUAGGUCUUACUUGGCACAAACACUAAUUAAAACACAAAACUACAUCUAAACAGAAGCUAGAUGGAAAAUUUAUUACUAAACAGAACCAAAAAGCAAGAAACAAAAAUAAAAUUGGGUUGCCUCCCAACAAGCGCUAACGUUUAAGGCCCCUAGCUAGGCAUGAUGAUUUCAAUGAUGCUCGUAUAAAAGAUAAGAAUUGAAACAUAAAGAGAGCAUCAUGAAACACAUGGCAAGCACAUUUAAGUCUAACCCACUUCCUAUGCAUAGGGAUUUUGUGAGCAAACAACUUAUGGGAACAAUAAUCAACUAGCAUAGGAAGGCAAAACAAGCAUAACUUCAAAACUUCAAGCACAUAGAGAGGAAACUCAAUAUUAUUGCAAUUCCUACAAGCAUAUGUUCCUCACUCAUAAUAAUUUUUAGUAGCAUCAUGAAUGAAUUCAACAAUAUAACCUGCACCUAAAGCAUUCUUUUCAUGAUCUACAAGCAUAGAAUUUUUACUACUCUCAACAUAAGCAAAAUUCUUCUCAUUCGGAAUAGUGCGAGUAUCAUAAGAGACUUGAAUACUAUAAAUUGUUUCUGCAUUAAAUGAGUAAUGUUCAGAAAAAGGGUAAUCAUAAUCAUGACAAGUUUUAUAAAUAUAAUCAUCACUACUCUUUAUAGCAUAAGUUUCAUCACAAUAAUCAUCAUAAGUAGCAACUUUGUUCUCAUCAUAAUCAAUUGAAACCUCUUCCGAAAUAGUGGAUUCAUCACUAAAUAAAGUCAUGACCUCUCCAAAUCCACUUUCAUAAAUAUUAUAAGAUUCAACAUCCUCCAAAAUAGUGGGAUCAUUACUUCCUAAAGUUGACACUCUUCCAAACCCACUUUCAUCAAUAUAAUCAUCAUAGGUAGAAGGCAUGCUAUCAUCAUAACAAAUUUGCAUAUCAAAACUUGGGAGGCUAAAAAUAUCAUCUUCAUUAAACAUAGCAUCCCCAAGCUUGGGACAAACAUUAAUUGCAGCAAAUAUAUUCUCAAAUAUGUCAUCCUCAUCAAACAUAGCUUCCCCAAGCUUGGGCCUUUUCAUAUCAUAAGCAUAAUCACUCUCAUCAUUAAUAGUGUGGAUAGCACCAAUAGUAUAACAAUUAUCAUCAUCACAAUGAGUAGUAGGAGCAACAUCAUUUGGGAGGGAUACCUUUUUACCUUUGCUUCUCCGUCUUUUCUUUUUCUUCUUCACAUCAUGUGUGGGUUCAAUCCUCUUUUUUGAGCUUUUUAUUGAUGAGAUUGGUUGAAUAGAAAGCUCCUCCUCGUUACCUGAUUCAUCAUAAGAAAUAAUAGGAGGAUAUUGGGAAGUCUCUUCCCUUUCAUUAGUGUUCUCUUCAUCUUCUAUUUGCUUUCUUUUCUUUAUGUAAUUGGCAAUAUAAGUAUUUUCAAUGCAAUUCACCGCACAAUACAUAUAAAUCUUCUCUAGAUCAAAAUCAAGAAAUCUAUCAAGAUUAAAUUUUGGAAUACCCUCAGUUAUACGUUUCAUUUCUUCAUACCCCAAAAGAAGACUAAGCUCUUUAUGAUGCUCAAGGGUAAUCAAAUUAUCACAAUUUUUGGACACGAUUUGCUCAUGAAACAAAUAUCAUUGGAGCUUUAAAUGACCAUGUUCAUUGCAUAGUUCACAAGGAUGGCGAAAAAUAUUGAAUCUUUCAGCACAAACAUCAAGCCUUUCUUGCAACAAUUUAGUUUCUAAAUGCUUAUGCCUCUUGCAAUAUCUAUCUUCCCUAUUUGGUGUGUACUUGCAAACCCAAUGCACUCCACAAAAAUUGACAUGCUUAUAGGAGACAUUUUCAUCAUAACUAGUGCAAUCAUCAUUAGUACUAUGGAUAUUCAAAGAGUUCAUACUAACAACAUUGCAAUCACCCUCAUCAUUCAAAGAUUUAGUGCCAAACAUUUUAUAGACAUCUUCUUCUAGCACUUGAGCACAAUUUUCCUUUCCAUCAUUCUCACGAAAAAUAUUAAAAAGAUGAAGCGUAUGAGGCAAACUCAAUUCCAUUUUUUUGUAGUUUUAUUUUAUAAACUAACUAGUGAUAAAACAAGAAACUAAAAGAUUCGAUUGCAAGAUCUAAAGAUAUACCUUCAAGCACUCACCUCCCCGGCAACGGCGCCAGAAAAGAGCUUGAUGUCUACUACACAACCUUCUUCUUGUAGACGUUGUCAGGCCUCCAAGUGCAGAGGUUUGUAGGACAGUAGCAAUUUUCCCUCAAGUGGAUGACCUAAGGUUUAUCAAUCCGUGGGAGGCGUAGGAUGAAGAUGGUCUCUCUCAAGCAACCCUGCAACCAAAUAACAAAGAGUCUCUUGUGUCCCCAACACACCCAAUACAAUGGUAAAUUGUAUAGGUGCACUAGUUCGGCGAAGAGAUGGUGAUACAAGUGCAAUAUGGAUGGUAGGUAUAGGUUUUUGUAAUCUGAAAAUAUAAAAACAGCAAGGUAACUAAUGAUAAAAGUGAGAGAAAACGGUAUUGCAAUGCUUCGAAACAAGGCCUAGGGUUCAUACUUUCACUAGUGCAAGUUCUCAACAAUAAUAACAUAAUUGGAUCAUAUAACUAUCCCUCAACAUGCAACAAAGAGUCACUCCAAAGUCACUAAUAGCAGAGAACAAACGAAGAGAUUAUGGUAGGGUACGAAAUCACCUCAAAGUUAUCCUUUCUGAUCGAUCUAUUCAAGAGUCCGUAGUAAAAUAACAUGAAGCUAUUCUUUUCGUUCGAUCUAUCAUAGAGUUCGUACUAGAAUAACACCUUAAGAUACAAAUAAACCAAAACCCUAAUGUCACCUAGAUACUCCAAUGUUACCUUAAGUAUCCGUGGGUAUGAUUAUACGAUAUGCAUCACACAAUCUCAGAUUCAUCUAUUCAAACCAACACAAAGUACUUCAAAGAGUGCCCCAAAGUUUCUACCGGAGAGUCAAGACGAAAACGUGUGCCAACCCCUAUGCAUAGGUUCAUGGGCGGAACCCGCAAGUUGAUCACCAAAACAUACAUCAAGUGGAUCACGUGAUAUCCCAUUGUCACCACAGAUAAGCACGGCAAGACAUACAUCAAGUGUUCUCAAAUCCUUAAAGACUCAAUCCGAUAAGAUAACUUCAAAGGAAAACUCAAUCCAUUACAAGAGAGUAGAGGGGGAGAAACAUCAUAAGAUCCAACUAUAAUAGCAAAGCUCGCGAUACAUCAAGAUCGUACCACCUCAAGAACAUGAGAGAGAGAGAGAUCAAACACAUAGCUACUGGUACAUACCCUCAGCCCCGAGGGUGAACUACUCCCUCCUCGUCAUGGAGAGCGCCGGGAUGAUGAAGAUGGCCACCGGUGAGGGAUUCCCCCUCCGGCAGGGUGCCGGAACAGGGUCCCGAUUGGUUUUUGGUGGCUACAAAGGCUUGCGGCGGCGGAAAACUCCCGAUCUAUUCUGUUCCCCGAAGUUUUUAGGGUAUAUGGAUAUAUAUAGGCGAAAAAGUCGGUCAGGGAAGCCACGAGGGGCCCACGAGGGUGGAGGGCGCGCCCGGAGGGGGUGGGCGCGCCCCCUGCCUCGUGCCUUCCUCGUUGCUUCCCUGACAUAUACUCCAAGUCUCCUGGAUUGCUUCCGUUCCAAAAAUAACUCUCCCGAAGGUUUCAUUCCAUUUGGACUCCGUUUGAUAUUUCUUUUCUUCGAAACACUGAAAUAGGCAAGAAAACAACAAUUUGGGCUGGCCUCCGGUUAAUAGGUUAGUCCCAAAAAUAAUAUAAAAUUGUAUAAUAAAGCCCAUAAAUAUCCAAAACAGAUAAUAUAAUAGCAUGAAUACUUCAUAAAUUAUAGAUACGUUGGAGACGUAUCACGGUCGAUCCCCUCAAGGCGCUCAAUCUGUCACCUCGCUCCAGGGCGGAGGUGGGCUAGGUGAGCCCCCCCUGGGAGUUCUCGGCAGACAAGUUCAAGGAGAUGAGGGACCAGCUCGAGGAGUUCGUUGAAGAUGUAGAGGAGGAACCGGUCUCUGCAUCGACUGGUGUGAAGAUCACGACCCCCACCUCCACUGCCCGCAAAAGCUCGCGCAUCCAGUGCUCGGGCGAGACGGCUAUGCAGAGGGCAGAGCGGGUGGCGGCCGCCAAAAACCUCGACCCUCCAGGUACUUCCAUUCCCCCAGUGUUUACGGUUCUUGACAAGCUUGCCGAUGAUCAUUUGUUGCGUGUUGCACAUGAUUCAUGUAUUCGAUUUAAUCCCAUUAAUACUGCCUCGAUUUCCCCCUCUGAAUUCCUAUCUGUUAUCCGUGCCAGUGAGGUGGCCCAUGCUACGCUUGCUGCGGCUAAGGCCGCUGUUGCCAUUCCCCCGCCGGAGUCCCCCGGACUUGCUCUAGGUGUUGUGGCACCUACUCAGCUGGUGCCGGACGGUUGUGGCCGUCCGGCCACCGUACGUAGAAAGAAUCGCCGUGCGGCGUCUGGUCUAGUCCCAUGCAGGUCCAGCUUGUGCAUCAAAAACCUAUAUUGCAGAUGAAAGUCCUAUUCUGGAACAUCCGUGGUUUCGGUGCUCGGGGGUGCCGCGACCAACUUUGAGACCUUAUUAGCUCCGUUAAACCUGAUGUUAUUUGUCUUCAGGAGACUAUCAAAUCCGACUUCCGCCCUCAGGAUCUAAAUUCGCUUUCUUCAGUUAAUUUCUCCUGGGCUUGGUCCCCACUAUCGGGCUGUCUGGGGCUUGUUAAUUGGGACAUGCAAUGAUUCCUGCGAUCUGAUCUCCACUGCCCUGGAACGGUUCUUUAUCAGCGCGAAUAUCAAGUGCAAAUACGAUAACUUCACGUGGGAGUUGCUUAAUGUUUAGGGCCCAGCGGAUCACUCCCUCGCCCUCGUCUUCCUUAAUGAGUUGUUCUCUAAGUUAGCAAAUUCCAACAUACCUGUGUUGGUCGGAGGGGACUUUAACUUGCAUCGAGACCCGGCGGACAAGAAUAACUCUAAUUUCAAUUGGCACCUCGCCCACUACUUUAACAACUGCAUCAGCUCCGCCGCUCUCCGGGAAAUUCCUAGAGUUGGGGCUCGCUUCACUUGGUCUAAUAGACAACUCAACCCCGUGUGUUGCGUUCUGGAUAGAGUCUUUAUGUCGAUGGACUGGGAGGCCCACUUUCCGCUCGUCGCCCUCUCUUCACGUCCUAGCAUUAGGUCGGACCACACGCCGCUUGUGGUGGACGGUGGUGCUAGGGCCACACCACCCUCGUCUCGGUUCCACUUUGAAACCAGUUGGCUUCUUAAUGAGACCUUCAAACCUCUUGCGAUCAGCAAAUGGGCUGCGCUUGAGAGCAAAUGCACCAGGUCCUUUGGCCCUCUGGAUGAUUGGAGAUUUUGCUCCCAGAAGCUUCGACAAUUCCUUCGUGGUUGGAGUGCUAACUGUCGGGCUGAGGCCCUUCGCGCCAAAGCCGCUCUUUCCUCCCAGAUCAAAACUCUUGACGCCCUGGCCGAUUCCGCGGGCCUAGACGCUGCCGGUUGGGAUAAUCAAUACUUUAUUGAGUCCCAGUUAGUUAACCUCCACCAUGCGGAUGAGGUGUAUUGGCAGCAGCGAUGUAACAUCAUGUGGAUCCUCAGGGGGGAUGCUAACACUGCUUAUUUCCAGGCCAUUGCUAAUGGCCGGCGUCGUCGUUCAAACAUCUCCUCCCUGAUUAUUAAUGGCUUGUCCUGUUCUGAUAUUCAGACCAUUUCCAGACACAUUUAUGACUCCUAUUCUUCUCUCCUAGGAUGCCGCCCAGACCCUGGUAUUAGUUUGGCUUCAAAUGCUUCGACAGGGGACCAAUGUGUCUUUGAGGAUGAUAAUGGCUUUCUCUUGUCUCCUCUGUCGACCGAGGAUAUUGAUGCUUCGGUGGCCACAUCGAAGUCGUCUUCGGCCCCUGGCCCGGACGGGUUCUCGAUCCCCUUCUUCAAAGCCUUCUGGCCCACCCUCAAACCACUCAUGUACCGCAUCUUCUAGGGGUUCUCCCUUGGCACGGUCGACAUCUCUCGGCUGAAUUAUGCCACCCUCACUCAAAGGUCAAAGGGGCAGAUAACAUCAAGCUCUUCUGAACCAUUGCUCUUAUUAACAACAUUGCUAAGUUCCCUUCCAAAGCUGUGACGCCCCCGAUUCAAUCAUACACUAAUCAUGCACGCAAACGUGUACGAUCAAGAUCAGGGACUCACGGGAAGUGAUAACCCACAAGUAUAGGGGAUCGCAACAGUUUUCGAUAAGUAAGAGUGUCGAACCCAACGAGGAGCUAAAGGUAGAACAAAUAUUCCCUCAAGUUCUAUCGACCACCGAUACAACUCUACGCACACUUGACGUUCGCUUUACCUAGAACAAGUAUGAAACUAGAAGUACUUUGUAGGUGUUUUUGGAUAGGCUUGCAAGAAAGUAAAGAGCACGUAAAUAAAAGCUAGGGGCUGUUAAAGUAAAGACACAACUAAAGUAAAUAUAGCGAGUGUGGAAAAGUGGUGGUAGGAGUUGCGAAAUUGUCCCUAAGCAAUUGACUACUUUACUAGACCGAUAACAAGUUUCAUGUGGGAGAGGCCACUGCUAGCAUGUCAUCCCUUACUUGGAAUUCUAUGCACUUAUGAUUGGAACUAUUAGCAAGCGUCCGCAACUACUAACGUUCAUUAAGGUAAAACUCAACCAUAGCAUUAAGAUAUAUUGGUCCCCCUUCAAUCACGUAUGCAUCAAUUUCUAUGCUAGGCUGAAGCUUCUGUCACCCUUGCCCUCCAAUACAUAGUCCUAUUAACAUACAACUAACCCUAUGGUGUGAUCCACGCACGCGCUCAUAUGAUGGGCACCAAAGGACAUCAACAUAACCACAAGCAAAUUAAAUCAAUCAUAGCAAUUCAUCAACCACCGAUAGGACAACGAAAAUCUACUCAGGCAUCAUAGGAUGGCAACACAUCAUUGGAUAAUAAUAUGAAGCAUAAAGCACCAUGUUCAAGUAGAGGGUACAACGGGUUGCGGGAGAGUGGACCGCUGUAGAUAGAGGGGGAAGGUGAUGGAGAUGUUGGUGAAGAUGGCGGAGGUGUUGGUGAAGAUCGCGGUGAUGAUGAUGGUGGCCACGACAGCGUUCCGGCGCCACCGGAGGAGAGGGGGAGAGGGGCCCCCUUCUUCCUCUUCUUCCUUGACCUCCUCCCUAGAUGGGAGAAGGGUUUCCCCUCUGGUCCUUGGCCUCCAAGGCAUGGGAGGGGCGAGAGCCCCUCCGAGAUUGGAUCUGUCUCUCUGUCUCUCUCUGUUUCUGCGUUCUGUUCUGCUGCCCUUUCACCGUUUCGUAUAUAUAUGGAGAUCCGUAACUACGAUUGGACUGAAACCUUCGCCGUGAUUUUUUUUACCAAAAAUUAGCUUUCUUGCGGCCGAAGAUGGGCAUCAACCGCCUUAUGGGUGGCCCACGAGGGUCAGGGGCGCGCCCAGGGGGGCAGGCACGCCCCCCUGCCUCGUGGCCACCUCGGGCACUGUUUCGCGUUGAUCUUUCUCCCAGAUUUUCCAAAUAUUCCAAAAAUAAGCUCCGUCCGUUUUUAUCCCGUUUGGAUUCUGUUUGAUAUGGAUAUUCUGCGAAACCAAAAACAUGCAACAGACAGGAACUGGCACUGGGCACUGGAUCAAUAUGUUAGUCCCAAAAAUAAUAUAAAAAGUUGCCAAAAGUAUGUGAAAGUUGUAGAAUAUUGGCAUGGAACAAUAAAAAAUUAUAGAUACGACGGAGACGUAUUAGCAUCCCCAAGCUUAAUUCCUGCUCGUCCUCGAGUGAUAAAAAAGAUAAUUUUUGAUGUGGAAUGCUACCUAGCAUAAUCUUGAUCAUGUAUCUAAUCAUGGCAUGAAUAUUAAGACACGAGUGAUUCAAAGCAAUAGUCUAUCAUUUGACAUAAAAAUAAUAAUACUUCAAGCAUACCAACCAAGCAAUUAUGUCUUAUCGAAAUAACAUAGCCAAAGAAAGCUCAUCCCUACAAAAUCAUAUAGUCUGGCUAUGCUCCAUCUUCACCAUACAAAGCAUUCAAAUCAUGCACAACCCUGAUGACAAGCUGAGCAAUUGGUUCAUACUUUUUAACGCGCUUCAGCUUUUUCAACCCUCACGCAAUACAUGAGCGUAAGCCAUGGAUAUAGCACUAUAGGUGGAAUAGCAUAUGAUGAUGGAGGUUGUGUGGAGAAGACAAAAAAAGGAGAAAGUCUCACAUCGACGCGGCUAAUCAACGGGCUAUGGAGAUGCCCAUCAAUUGAUGUCAAUGCGAGGAGUAGGGAUUGCCAUGCAACGGAUGCACUAAGAGCUAUAAGUGUAUGAAAGCUCAAACUGGAAACUAAGUGGGUGUGCAUCCAACUUGCUUGCUCAUGAAGACCUCGGGCAUUUGAGGAAGCCCAUCAUCGGAAUAUACAAGCCAAGUUCUAUAAUGAAAAAUCCCACUAGUAUAUGAAAGUGAUAACUCAAGAGACCCUCUAUAUGAAGAACAUGGUGCUACUCUGAAGCACAAGUGUGGUAAAAGGACAGUAACAUUGCCCCUUCUCUCUUUUUCUCUCAUUUUUUUUUCAUUUUUUUGUGGGCUUCUUUCGCCUCUUUUUUUAUUUGGGCUUCUUUGGCCUCUUUUAUUUAUUGUUAAAGUCCGGAGUCUCAUCCCGACUUGUGGGGGAAUCAUAGUCUCCAUCAUCCUUUCCUCACUGAGGCAAUGCUCUAAUAAUGAUGAUCAUCACACUUUUAUUUACUUACAACUCGAUACUACAACUCGAUACUAGAACAAAGAUAUGAAUCUAUAUGAAUGCCUCCGGCGGUGUACCGGGAUGUGCAAUGAUCUAGCGUAGCAAUGACAUCAAAAAACGGACAAGCCAUGAAAACAUCAUGCUAGCUAUCUUACGAUCAUGCAAAGCAAUAUGACAAUAAAUGCUCGAGUCAUGUAUAUGAUGAUGAUGGAAGUUGCAUGGCAAUAUAUCUCGGAAUGGCUAUGGAAAUGCCAUGAUAGGUAGGUAUCGUGGCUGUUUUGAGGAAGAUAUAAUGAGGCUUAUGUGUGAUAGAGCGUAUCGUAUCACGGGGUUUGGAUGCACCGGCGAAGUUUGCACCAACUUUCGAGGUGAGAAAGGGUAAUGCACGGUACCGAAGAGGCUAGCAAUGAUGGAAGGGUGAGAGUGCGUAUAAUCCAUGGACUCACAUUAGUCAUAAAGAACUCAUAUACUUAUUGCAAAAGUUUAUUAGCCCUCGAAGCAAAGUACUACUACGCAUCCCCUAGGGGGGUAGAUUGGUAGGAAAAGACCAUCGCUCGUCCCCGACCGCCACUCAUAAGGAAAGCAAUGAAAGAACACCUCAUGCUCCGACUUCGUUACAUAAUGGUUCACCAUACGUGCAUGCUACGGGACUUGCAAACCUCAACACAAGUAUUCCUCAGUUUCACAAUUACUCAACUAGUACGACUCUAAUAUCACCACCUUUAUAUCGCAAAACCAUUGCAAGGAAUCAAACAUAUCAUAUUCAGUGAUCUACAAGUUUUAUGUAGGAUUUUAUGACUAACCAUGUGAAUGACAAGUUCCUGUCAUCUCUCUAAAUAGAUAUAAGUGAAGCAAGAGAGUUUAAUUCUUUGUACAAAAGAUAUGCCCACGCUCCAACAAAUAUAAGUGAAGCAAAAGAGCAUUCUACAAAUGGCGGUUGUCUAAGUGAAGAGAAAUAGGCAAUCCAAACUUCAAAUGAUAUAAGUGAAGCACAUGAAGCAUUCUAUAAAGCCAUACUCAAAAGAUAUAAGUGAAGUGCAAAGAGCAUUCUAUAAAUCAACCAAGGACUAUCUCAUACCAGCAUGGUGCAUAGAAGAAAAGUGAAAACUAAAUACAAAAGACGCUCCAAGAUUGCACAUAUCGCAUGAACGAAACGAAUCCGAAAACAUACCGAUACUUGUUGAAGAAAGAGGGGAUGCCUUCUGGGGCAUCCCCAAGCUUAGACGCUUGAGUCUCCUUGAAUAUUUACUUGGGGUGCCUCGGGCAUCCCCAAGCUUGAGAUCUUGCCUCUCUUCCUUCUUCUCCCAUCGAAACCUUCUCGAUCAUCGAACACUUCAUCCACACAAAACUUCAACAGAAAACUCGGUAAGAUCCGUUAGUAUAAUAAAGCAAAUCAUCACUCUAAGUGCUGUUGCAAACAAAUUCAUAUUUUGUUUUUGCAUUGUGUCUACUGUAAUAUAACUUUUUCAUGGCUUAAUCCACUGAUAUAAAUCGAUAGUUUCAUCAAAACAAGCAAACUAUGCAUCAAAAACAGAAUCUGUCUAAAACAGAACAGUCUGUAACAAUCUGAAGAUUCACCAUACUUUUGAUACUUGAAAAAUUCUGCAAAAAUUAGGAAAAAUAAAAAAUUUGCACAUAAAGACAAUGCAAAAAGAAUCAGAACCAUUUGACGUUCCAGUAAAAAAUGUAAAAUCGUGCACUACAGCCAAAGUUUCUGUCCUGCACCGCACAAACCAACAAGCCUUGUCAACAUCCUAAAGGCAAACCUUGGCACAUUAUUUUUAUUUUUAAGCUUUAUAAAAGCACACAACAGAAAUAAAUGACUCUCUAAAACUUCAGGGUUGUCUCCCUGGCAGCGGUUUCUUUAAAGCCAUUAAGCUAGGCAUAUGGUGCUCAAGUAAUGGAUCCAUCCGGAUCCCAAGGUAUAUCAAAGCCAAUUUUAAUUAACAAUGAUUUGUAAUUUAGUAAUGAGCACAAGGCAAUAUAUAUCAUGCAACAACGAAUUAUAACUCUCUUCCUAUGCAUCGGCAUGUCAUAAAAGAACAAUUCAUGCACACAUAGUAAAGGCCAAUGCAUAGUAUAAACAGUUUCUUGCAAUUUUAUCGUGUUGGAAAUAUACAGAGGUGGAGAUAUAGUUCCUCUCUCAUAAUAAUUGCAAGUAGGAGCAUCAAGCACAUGCAUAUUAUAUUCAUCAAAAUCAUCUUGUGCAACGGUAAAAGGCAAUCCAUCAAUAUAAUCCUUAAUAAGGGCAAACUUCUCUGAUAUAGUGUAGUUUGGAGAAUUCAAAAAGAUAAUAGGACUAUCAUGUGUGGGUGCAACAACAACAAUUUCAUGUUUAACAUAAGGAACUAUAGCAAUUUCAUCUCCAUAAGCAUAAUUCAUAUUGGCAUCUUGGCCACAAGCAUAUCAAGCAUCAUCAAAAAGGGAUAUUUCAAGAGAAUCAAUGAGAUCAUAACAAUCAUCAUAGCAUUCAUCCUUCGGUAAGCACGAAGGGAAAUUAAACAAUGUAUGAGUUGAAGGGUCACUCUCAUUAGAAGGUGGGCACGGGUAGCUAAUCCGCUCUUCCUCCUUUUGUUCUUCGCUCUCCUCAUCAUCUUUUUCAUCCAAUGAGCUCACAGUUUCAGUAAUUUCUUCUUCCAUAGACUCCUGCAAAAUAUUAGUCUCUUCUUGGACAGCGGGGUAAUCCUCAAUAUAUGGUUCAACAUAGGCAUUAGAAGCAUAAUUAUCAUAGCAAUAUUUAAGUAUGACAAAAUUUUCAGACUUGUAAAGAGUAGCAUCAUACGUUUCAAUCAAAGAAGCAAUUUCAUAAGCACCCUUAAAAGCAACAAAUUCUUCAAUUUGUUGAACAUCAUAGUAACUAUAAACACCUUUAGCAUACGAAGAUAAGAUUCCAUUAUCAAUAAACUCACAUUGGUGGGGAAGGUGUUUCUUAGGGUUUUUAGAACAACAAGUAACAUCAUACAUAUACCAUAAAUUCCAAGCAUAGCAUUGCAAACGAUGAAUUUGACCUAGUAAAAGUUUCCCUUUUUCAGAUAUACGGUGUCGCACAUAACAAGCAUGCUCAUCUAAAGGUUUGCCCUCAACUAAGCUAGUUGGGGUUUCAGCACGAGCACAAAGGGAUCGAAGAUGAUCCAAGUAAAAAGCUUCAGGAGUGUGAUAGAUUUUGAGUGGUUCUUCAACCAUUGGUUCAGUAGGUACAACUAAUUUUUUUGGUAUUUUGCGUUUCCUACCCAUAACUAAAGAUAGAAAACAACUAAGAACAACAAAUAAAAAUUACUUAGUGACAAAGCAAACAAGCACACACGAGAAUAUUCACCCCACGCUAUGACUCCCCGGCAACGGCGCCAGAAAAAGGUCUUGAUAACCCAAAAGUAUAGGGGAUCGCAACAGUUUUCGAUAAGUAAGAGUGUCGAACCCAACGAGGAGCUAAAGGUAGAACAAAUAUUCCCUCAAGUUCUAUCGACCACCGAUACAACUCUACGCACGCUUGACGUUCGCUUUACCUAGAACAAGUAUGAAACUAGAAGUACUUUGUAGGUGUUUCUGGAUAGGCUUGCAAGAAAGUAAAGAGCACGUAAAUAAAAGCUAGGGGCUGUUAAAGUAAAGACACAACUAAAGUAAAUAUAGCGAGUGUGGAAAAGUGGUGGUAGGAGUUGCGAAAUUGUCCCUAAGCAAUUGACUACUUUACUAGACCGAUAGCAAGUUUCAUGUGGGAAAGGCCACUGAUAGCAUGUCAUCCCUUACUUGGAAUUCUAUGCACUUAUGAUUGGAACUAUUAGCAAGCGUCCGCAACUACUAACGUUCAUUAAGGUAAAACCCAACCAUAGCAUUAAGAUAUAUUGGCCCCCCUUCAAUCCCGUAUGCAUCAAUUUCUAUGCUAGGCUGAAGCUUCUGUCACCCUUGCCCUCCAAUACAUAGUCCUAUUAACAUACAACUAACCCUAUGGUGUGAUCCACGCGCGCGCUCAUAUGAUGGGCACCAAAGGACAGCAACAUAACCACGAGCAAAUUAAAUCAAUCAUAGCAAUUCAUCAACCACCGAUAGGACAACGAAAAUCUACUCAGACAUCAUAGGGUGGCAACACAUCAUUGGAUAAUAAUAUGAAGCAUAAAGCACCAUGUUCAAGUAGAGGGUACAGUGGGUUGCGGGAGAGUGGACCGCUGUAGAUAGAGGGGGGAAGGUGAUGGAGAUGUUGGUGAAGAUGGCAGAGGUGUUGGUGAAGAUUGCGAUGAUGAUGAUGGUGGCCACGGCAGCGUUCCGGUGCCACCGGAGGAGAGGGGGAGAGGGGCCCCCUUCUUCCUCUUCUUCCUUGACCUCCUCCCUAGAUGGGAGAAGGGUUUCCCCUUUGGUCCUUGGCCUCCAUGGCAUGGGAGGAUUAGAGCCCCUCCGAGAUUGGGUCUGUCUCUCUGUCUCUCUGUUUCUGCGUUCUGUUCUGCUGCCCUUUCACCGUUUCGUAUGUAUAUGGAGAUCCGUAACUCCGAUUGGACUGAAACCUUCGCCGUGAUUUUUUUACCAAAAAUUAGCUUUCUUGCGGCCGAAGAAGGGCAUCAACCGCCUUACGGGUGGCCCAUGAGGGUCAGGGGCGCGCCCAGGGGGGGCAGGCGCGCCCCCCUGCCUCGUGGCCACCUUGGGCAUUGUUUCGCGUUGAUCUUUCUCCCAGAUUUUCCAAAUAUUCCAAAAAUAAGCUCCGUCCGUUUUUAUCCCGUUUGGAUUCCGUUUGAUAUGGAUAUUCUGCGAAACCAAAAACAUGCAACAGACAGGAACUGGCACUGGGCAAUGGAUCAAUAUGUUAGUCCCAGAAAUAAUAUAAAAAGUUGCCAAAAGUAUGUGAAAGUUGUAGAAUAUUGGCAUGGAACAAUAAAAAAUUAUAGAUACGACGAAGACGUAUCAGCAAGAUAUCACAACACAACUCUAAAAACAUAAAUAAGUCAUACAAGCUCAUAAUACAAGCCAGGGGCCUCGAGGGCUCGAAUACAAGUGCUCGAUCAUAGACGAGUCAGCGGAAGCAACAAUAUCUGAGUACAGACAUAAGUAAACAAGUUGCCAUAAGAUGGCUAGCACAAGCUGGGAUACAGAUCGAAAGAGGCGCAGGCCUCCUGCCUGGGAUCCUCCUAAACUAAUCAUGGUCGUUGACAGCGGCCUGCACGUAGUAGUAGACACCUUCGGUGUAGUAGGAGUCGUCGUCGACGGUGGCGUUUGGCUCCUGGGCUCCAGCAUCUGGUUGUGACAACCAGGAAGAAAGGAAAAGGGGAAAAAGGGGGAUCAAAGCAACCGUGAGUACUCAUCCAAAGUACUCGCAAGCAAGGAUCUAUACUACAUAUGCAUAGGUAUCUGUGUAAAGGGGCAAUACUGGUGGACUGAACUGCAGAAUGCCAGUAUAAGAGGGGGAUAGCUAGUCCUGUCGAAGACUACGCUUCUGGCAGCCUCCAUCUUGCAGCAUGUAGAAGAGAGUAGAUGGUAAGUUCACCAAGUAUCAUCACAUAGCAUAAUCCUACCCGGCGAUCCUCCCCUCGUCGCCCUGUGUGAGAGUGAUCACCGGGUUAUAUCUGGCACUUGGAAGGGUGUGUUUUAUUAAGUAUCCGGUUCUAGUUGUCAUAAGGUCAAGGUACAACUCCGGGUCGUCCUUUUACCAAGGGACACGGCUAUUCGAAUAGAUAAAUCUCCCUGCAGGGGUGCACCACAUUACCCAACACGCUCGAUCCCCUUUGGCCGGACACACUUUCCUAGGUCAUGCCCAGCCUCGGAAGAUCAACACGUCGCAGCCCCACCUAGGCACAACAGAGAGGUCAGCAUGCCGGUCUAAAUCCUAUGGCGCAGGGGUCUGGGCCCAUCGCCCAUUGCACACCUGCACGUUGCGAACGUGGCCGGAAGCAGACCUAGACCCCUUAAUACAAGUGCAGGCUUACGGUCCAAUCUGGCGCGCGCCGCUAAGUCGCUGACAUCAUGAAGGCUUCGGCUGAUACCACGACGUCGAGUGCCCAUAACUGUUCCCGCGUAGUUGGUUAGUGCGUAUAGGCCAGUGGUCAGACUCAGAUCAAAUACCAAGAUCUCGUUAAGCGUGUUAUUUUAAAGUAACCGCGGACGCCGACCAGGGCCAGGCCCACCUCUCACCUAGGUAGUCUCAACCUGCCCUGUCACUCUGCCUCAAAGAUCCACCCAGAGGGCCGUCGGGACAAAGGUCCUUUCAGCCCCCAAUCCGUGAAUUACUCGCGGGUACUCUACGAGCCGAACCGACUUUAGUCACCACAUGUAUCAUGUAUGAAGUAUAUAGUAUAUACCCGUGAUCACCUCCCGAGUGAUCACGGCCCGAUAGUAUAGCAUAGCAGACGGACAAGAAUGUAGGGCCACUGAUGGAAAACUAACAUCCUAUACUAAGUAUUUAGGAUUGCAGGUAAAGGUAACAACAGUAGUAGCAAAGACAGGCUAUGCAUCAGAAUAGGAUUAACCAAAAGCAGUAACAUGCUACACUACUCUAAUGCAAGCAGAGAGAGAAGGAAUAGGCGAUAUAUGGUGAUCAAGAGGGGGGCGGCUUGCCUGGAAGCUCUGCCGAGAAGGAGGGGUCGUCAACACCGUAGUCGUACUAGGUAGCAGCGGCGUCGGUCUCGGUGUCUAGCGAGAGAAGAGGGGGAAGAACCAAUAAAUAUAAAAGCAAACAUAUGCAUGACGAUGUAUGACAUGACAAUGAACGGUGCUAGGUGUGCCCUAACACGGUGGUAGGUGAUACCGGCCAAGGGGGGAACAUCCGGGAAAGUAUUCCCGGUGUUUCGCGUUUUCGGACAGAUGAACCGGAGGGGGACGGUUGCAUGUUUGCUAUGCUAGGGAUGUGUGGCGGAUGAACGGGCUGCAUAUCCAAAAUCGUCUCGUCGUUCUGAGCAACUUUCAUGUACAAAGUUUUUCCAUCCGAGCUACGAUUUAUUUUAUACUCCCUCCGUUCCUAAAUACUUGUCUUUUUAGAGAUUUCAAAUGGACUACCACAUACGGAUAUAUAUAGACAUAUUUUAGAGUGUAGAUUCACUCAUUUUGCUCCGUAUAUAGUCACUUGUUGAAAUCGCUAGAAAGACAAAUAUUUAGGAACGGAGGGAGUAUUAAUUAUAAAAUAUUUUAUCAAUUUUCUAGAUUUAAUAAAUUAAUUUAAUUUGAAAAUUAAUUAAUGCAUCAGCCUGACAUCAGCAUGACGUCAGCAGUCAACGUUGGCCGUUGACCUGGUCAACCUGACAGGUGGGUUCCACCUGUCAGGGACUGUUUAGCUAAUUAACAGUAGUUAAUUAGGUUAAACUAAACAGUAUUAAUUAAGUUAAUUAAUUAUUUAAUUAGUUAAUUAAUUGAUAUUUUUUUGUAUAAAAAUGUUCUGGGGCUGGGCCCCACAUGUCAUUGGCCCUAGGGGCCUUAGUGGGUUUGGGCGCUAGCGGCCGCUAACGGGCGUCGGGCGCAUGCCCAAGGGGGCGCGAGGCGACGGACCCGGCAGGUCGCCAAGGCAGGGGAGGCCGGUCGCCUGAGGCGGCAGCGGCGAGGCCACGUCAGAGUGGCGCCGGGGCUAGGAGCGAAGGCGAGGCGCGCGGCGGCGCGAGCAAAUAGCGAGAGGCAGAGACCGCAGCAGCGAGCGGGGUGCAGGCGAUGCGGCACCAGCAGGCAGCACAAGCGGGGGAGGGCGCGGUGGUGAGCGCGAGGCCACGACGCGGGGCGGUGGUCAGCGGCGGCAGCGGGCUGUGGGCGGAGCGCGCUCGNNNNNNNNNNNNNNNNNNNNNNNNNNNNNNNNNNNNNNNNNNNNNNNNNNNNNNNNNNNNNNNNNNNNNNNNNNNNNNNNNNNNNNNNNNNNNNNNNNNNNNNNNNNNNNNNNNNNNNNNNNNNNNNNNNNNNNNNNNNNNNNNNNNNNNNNNNNNNNNNNNNNNNNNNNNNNNNNNNNNNNNNNNNNNNNNNNNNNNNNNNNNNNNNNNNNNNNNNNNNNNNNNNNNNNNNNNNNNNNNNNNNNNNNNNNNNNNNNNNNNNNNNNNNNNNNNNNNNNNNNNNNNNNNNNNNNNNNNNNNNNNNNNNNNNNNNNNNNNNNNNNNNNNNNNNNNNNNNNNNNNNNNNNNNNNNNNNNNNNNNNNNNNNNNNNNNNNNNNGUCCGGCGAGGAUGAGUCGAGGAGGCAGGCCGACGUGGUAGCUCCGGCGAGGUCCAGUCGGCGAUGGACGACGACGGGCCGUCCGGGGCGACGGGAUCGGGUUCGAUCCCGAUCCAGAUCGGGGGGAAGGAGAGAGCGAGUGGGGGAGAGUGGUGGGUACGGUCUAGGGUUACGGAUGGGGUGGGGGUAAGUAGGCCACGGGGGUAGACGGGCCGGCCGGCUGGGCCAAGGCCCAGUUAGGCCCGGGGGAUUUUCCCCCAUGUUUUAUUUAUUUUUGUUUUCUGUUUUUCUUUUUAUAUAAUUUUCCUUUACUGUUUUAUUUUACUUGAGUGUUAUGAAAUUCAAAAGCUAAACCUAAAAUAAUAUUAUUAACUAUAUCUCUCUCAUAAAUAACUUGGCACUUUAAUUAAGUAUUUUGUAUUUGUUUAUUACUUAACGAGCAUUUAAUUAUUUGUUUUACCGUUGUUUUAUUUAAUCUAGUGCAUCUAAAUAUUUUAUAAGAAGGGUGAUUUCUCUGCCACAAUUAACUAUGAUUUAUUUGCCACAUUUCAAACACUUUUGUUUUACCGUCUGAAAUCCUUUACCGUUUGACUUGAAUUUGAAUUUUGAAUUCGAACGGGAUUUGAAUCAGAGUGAGUUUAGUAACAGUAACAGUGGUGACGUGGCAUCAUUAGCAGAGGGUUACUGUGGCUUAAUUAUCCGGGCGUCACAAAACCGUAUGCUUCUAGAAUCUCCCCAGUUGCCCACAAGAUCAUUAGCCCUACACAAACUGCGUUCAUUAAAGGUCGCUUCAUUAUGGAUGGGAUUGUGGUCUUGCAUGAGCUGCUGCAUGACAUCCACAGGUCGGGCAAACAAGCUGUCGUUCUUAAGCUUGACUUUGAGAAGGCAUACGACUGUGUUCGUUGGUCUUUCCUUCAAGAGGUCCUCCUCGCCAGGGGCUUUGUCUCCCCCUUCGUCACGCGGGUCAUGCAACUUGUCUCUGGUGGUCACACAACUAUCACGAUCAACGGGGUGGUUGGCCCCUUCUUUAAGAACGGCCGGGGCCUCAGGCAAGGGGACCCUAGCUCCCCUCUCCUCUUCAAUUUUGUCGCUGACGCCCUUGCCAAAAUGCUGGAUUCCGCAACGGCUAAUGGCCAUAUUAAGAAUGUAGCCACUCAUCUUUACCCUAACGGCUUAUCUCAUCUCCAAUAUGCGGACGACACGAUUAUCCUGAUCUAGAAAGACGAUCUUCAGUUAGCAAACCUGAAAUUCAUUCUCCUUUGCUUUGAGUCCUUAUCUGGGCUCAAGAUUAACUUUAGCAAAAGCGAGGUUUUCGUCCUCAAUUGUGACACCCCUGAGCAAAAACGAGUUGCUAACCUUAUGAACUGCUCCCUGGGCGUGUUCCCGACCACUUACCUGGGCGUUCCUAUCUCCCAAAGACGGAUUAAGGCGGAAUCCUUUCGACCGCUAGAGAAGAAAGUGGGUGGGCGGGUAGCACCUUGGAGGGGUCGCUAUCAGUCCACUGCUGGCAAGGUUGUGCUUACCAAUUCCAGUCUAUCUUCCCUCCCGACAUUCAUUAUGGGCUCUAUCGCCUUUUCGCCAGUAACCAUGCAUCCUUUGACAAAGAUCGCAGUGCCUUCUUCUGGAACACUGCUGAGAACAAGAAAAAAAUUAGAAUGGUAAAAUGGAAAUUGAUGUGUAGACCCAAAAAACUUGGUGGGCUCGGUAUUAUCAACACCUCUGUCAUGAAUCAAUGUCUUAUGAUGAAAUGGUGGUGGCGCCUAUACUCUGAACCUCCUAAUUAUGUUUGGAUCGGGAUCCUGAAGGCUAAAUACUUUCCUAAUUGCCCCGCACUCAUGUGGACUAUCACGUCCGGAUCGCAAUUUUGGUCGUCCUUGAUGAAACUUCGUGAUACCUUUAGAGGCUUGGUCCGUUUCCGAGUGGGUGAUGGGACAUCCACCCGCUUCUGGCUUGAUUGGUGGGCUGGUACCGGUCCCCUUGCUGACGCAUUCCCUUUGCUCUUUGCGUAUGUCUCGGAUCCAAAUGCGUCGGUGGCUUCUUUGGCAGUUGCGGAUUGGGACUUUGCCUUCCGCCGGACUCUGACUCCCGAAGAGUUGUCUUCUUGGCAAGACCUCAUUGCCCUGAUCCCCCGCUCCCGGAGUCCCCCGACGUGUUGGUUUGGCCUCACUCUGCUUCGGGCCGCUUCUUGAUCAAAUCCCUCUAUAAUAAAUUUAUCCCUGGUAGGCCUGAUGACCGCUUCAAAGGGCUGUGGCAAGCCCGGAUUCCUCUGAAAAUUCGGAUUUUUCUUUGGCAGGCUAUUAGACGCAAACGUCCGGCUAGUGACCAAAUCAUUAAACGACAUGGCAAUGCUAACCCGGCUUGCACCCUUUGUGGGGUGGUGGAAGACACGGAACACAUUCUCUUCAACUGCCCCCUAGCUCGGUUUGGGUGGAGCUGCGUUCGCUCCUGGCUUACGUGCACUUUGGAAUCCCCAAGGCUUUAAGGACUUAUUUGAGCUCUCCCGCAACCUGUCGGGGCAGGGGCGUAGGAUCUUCUGGGUCUUCUUUGCAGCACUAAGCUGGAGCUUAUGGACGACCAGGAAUAAACUGACUAUUGGCAUGUGUUUCCUAACAAACCUUCGGAUUGCCUGUUUAAAAUGAUUGCUUUCUUACAUUGUGGGCGCCUCUGUUUAAAGCUGGCGACGUGGAUGCUUUCAAUUCCCUCAUUACCAAGAUCCGCGCGACUGCCAUCAGCUUUGGUCAUCAUGCCGUGCCUUCUCAAGCUCCCCCAGCUUAAGAAUGCUUAGUUUUCUAUUGCUGCCUUGGCCUGCGUGCCUUUUGCCCUAGUGGCUAUACCGCACUUUGCAACCCUGCUUGGUUGCCUUUCAUGUUAAUUCCUUUCUGCAUACCUUGCUCCUGUAUGAUACUCGUGGUGAUUGGCUUUAUUUAUAAAGUCCGGCGUCAAGCCUUUUCUCCAAAAAAAACUGCAUGUUGCGGUAGCUUAUCUCGCUAGAUUGAUUAUUUUCCUUUAAAAUCAGAAUUAGUUUUCUACAGUAAUAUUUAUUUUGCUUCCUUAAAUCAGGGAUUUGUUUCCUCAAAUCACGUGAUCUGUGGGCAGUUAUUAGUUUCCACCAAAUCACCGAAGGAAAAAAGCUUUGCUGCCGCACGUCCUAUACCUUCCAAUCGGACGGUCUGCUAGUUUCUAAUCUAACGACGAUGAAGUGGUCUGAUGUAUCGCUAGGGAAUCAGCAGUCUGAUCCAGCGGUUCCCAGCUCAUUAUCUCUUCGUGCAUUAUCCCUUGCAUAUAAAUGUACUCCAGAGACAGAGAGAUCAAUGUAAGUUGGCGCAAAAUAAACUCCUCCUCCUGUCUCUCUUUCUUCUCUCUCCAAAACUCCGAUCCCUUUCAUGGUUCGGUCGAAGGGAAGAAGAAAGUACGGCGAAGGCUGGCACGCCGCGACGGCGGCGGUGCUCGGCAACGGCAACCUCCUCCACCAGAUCCUGAUCCACGUCGGCUACCCCACCUCCCUCCUCUGCGCCGCUCUCGUCUCCAAGCAGUGGCUCCGCCACGUCACUGACCCGGACUUCCUCCACGGCUUCCACGGGCGCGACGAUGUCGGCUGCCACUCCCGCCACCAGCUGAGACGCCUUCGCCAACAAUGCGUGGUUGACGAGGAAGACGCCAUGGAGGAGGCGGGACCUAAACAGCUUGCCAGCGUCGAAGGCUGGCGGUGGAACGGAGCGGAGGCCACCUUGUGCGGUAGCUCUUCUUGUUAAUGCGAUCGUUCGUGCUCGAUCUAUUAAAGGCGGCGGUGCUGCACGUUGGUUCAAUUCACGAUUGUUACAGUCUUACAGAUAUAUAGCAUACGUUCUGAAAUUUGAAGGCCUCUGACUGUCGGUCCUCAUGUUCUUUUCAGUAUGCCGUGAAAAUUCAGAUGGCGAUCUCAGCCAUGUUGAAAUUUAACACUCUCAUUCUCAGCUACAGAGUUAAGAAAACACUAGGUUGGGGAUUUACUUCGCUUCCCUUUCCCCUUCUACAUGUUCGUUGUGUAUCAUUUUCAUAUUUCUCUACGUAUGACAGAGAGCGGCCAGGCCGACAGCUGCUCGUUGCAAUCUCACGAAGUCUAUUAUCUUGGGACCCAUGGCGAAACUUAUUUUAAUGACUUCCUCUGUUUUUAUUUACUACUCCGCAUAUAGUUCUGAAAUUUGAAGGCCUCUGACUAUCGGUCCGCGUGUUCUUUUCAGUAUGCCGUGAAAAUUCAGAUGGCGAUCUCAGCCAUGUUGAAAUUUAACACUCUCAUUCUCAGCUACAGAGUUAAGAAAACACUACGUUGGGGAUUUUCUUCGCUUCCCUUUCCCCUUCUACACGUUCGUUGUGUAUCAUUUUCAUAUUUCUCUACGUAUGACACAGAGCGGCCAAGCCGACCGCUGCUCGUUGCAAUCUCACGAAGUCUAUUACCUUGGGACCCGUGGCGGAAGUUAUUUUAAUGACUCCCUCUGUUUUUAUUUAUUACUCCGCAUAUUAGUUUUGACCUAUGCCAAACUUUCUAAAGUUUGACCAAGUUUAUCAAAAACAAUCUAAAUUUUCACAAUGACAACUAUAUAUAGUAUGAAAAUAUGUUGACUGAUGAUUCUAAUGAUAUUGAAUUGGUAUUGUGGAUGUUAAUAAUUUUUUGCAUAAACUUGGUCAAUGUUUGAAAUUUUUGACUGGAGACAAAGCUAAUAUGCGAAGUAAAUAAAAACAAAGGGGUACACAUGUAACACCAUACGCUUUUAUGGGUAGUAGGGCUAUUGUGGUUAAAUGGUAGCAUGGGCCGCAUUGGACUUUGCAACAAGUGUGUUUUCUGCUACCACGUUUGUGUUGUUGAGACAACAUGGCUGCUUCUGCAAUGGCGGCGUUGUUGCGACAUGGGCAGUGAUGUGAUGGCAGUGCUUCUGUAGGGCGAGGUCUGCUGCGAUGGGGGCGUUGGAGUGCUUCGACUACAAGGCGUUGUGAUGGGGGCGGCACCGGUGUAGCAAGCUCAUGAGUUGGCAACAUCACUCGUCCGCUGCUGGAGUCAAAUCCAGCAGAUCUCGGGCAUGGGGUCUCAAGCUGGUAGCCUUAGUCCCGAGCUGGUAGGGGGUCCAGGGUUCUCUGGUCCGCCAUUCGUCGCUGAUAUUAUGCCUGAAGGAUGCGAUGGCCUCUGCGUCGGGAUAGUCCACUAUUUGGUUCUUCUUCGUUAAGAAGCAGUUCCAGAACUUGCGCGCUGACUCACCUUGCUUCUGUAUGAUAUGGGCCAAGUCAUCGCCAUUCGGCGGCUUCACAUAAGUGCCGUGAAAGUUGGACAAAAAUUCAUACUCGAGGUCAUCCCAUUCGCCAAUCGAAUCUGACGGGAGACUAUUCAGUCAAUGCGGGUUGAGUCCUUCAGUUUCAAUGGCAAGUAUUUUGUAGCAUGGACAUUAUCUCUGCCUGCUAUGUGGACGGCGAGGAGAAAAUCCUCGAUCCAUACCAAGGGACCUAUGUUGUGGUCGUAUUGGUCGAUAUUUGCGGGUUUAAACUCGUCCGGGAACUGAUGUUGCAUGACCUUUUCCGCGAAACACUGGAGGUGAGCCGCUCCUUGGACAAGAGUGGCAUGACGCACAUCUGACACGAGUAAGUUUUGGUUUCUGGUGUAAUCACGUACAUCGCCAUGUUUGGCCAGCACAGACAGGUAUCCCGGAUGUCCGGCAUAUAGGUGAUGUCGCUUGAAGUUACGUUGGUAUUUCCCCAAAGAGGAAUGGAUGAUGCAGCACAGCGGCGGUAGGUAUUUCCCUCAGAUAUGAAACCAAGGUUAUCGAACCAGUAGGAGAACCAAGCAACACAACAUAAACAGCCCCUGCACACAGAUAACAAAACCUCGCAACCUAACGUAUUAAAGGGGUUGUCAAUUCCUUCCGGGUACGACGCCUCAAGAUAGGCAAACGAACGUGAGAUAAAGUUGUAGUAGAUUGAUAGAUCGAACGCCAAAUAAAAUAAAUAAGAAUAAAUUGCAGCAGGGUAUUUUUGUAUUUUUGGUUAAUAGAUCUGAAAAUAAAUGCAAGGAAAAAGUAGAUCGCAAAGGCAAAUAUAUGAGAAAGAGACCCGGGGGCCGUAGGUUUCACUAGUGGCUUCUCUCGGGACAAAUAGCAAACGGUUGGUGAACAAAUUACUAUUGGGCAAUUGAUAGAACUUGAAAUACUCAUAGCGGUAUCCAGGCAAUGAUCAUUAUAUAGGCAUCACGUCCAAGAUUAGUAGACCGACUCCUGCCUGCAUCUACUACUAUUACUCCACACCUCGACCGCUAUCCAGCAUGCAUCUAGUGUAUUAAGUUCAUGAAAAACGGAGUAAUGCAAUAAGAACGAUGACAUGAUGUAGACAAGAUCUAUCUAUGUAGAGAUAGACCCCAUCGUUUUAUCCUUAGUAGCAACGAUACAUACGUGUCGGUUCCCCUUCUAUCACUGGGAUCAAGCACCGUAAGAUCGAACCCACUACAAAGCACCUCUUCCCAUUGCAAGAUAAAUAGAUCAAGUUGGCCAAACAAAACCCAAAUAUCGGAGAAGAAAUACGAGGCUAUAAGCAAUCAUGCAUAUAAGAGAUCAAAGAAACUUAAAUAACUUUCAUGGAUAUAAAAAGAUAGAUCUGAUCAUAAACUCAAAGUUCAUCGAUCCCAACAAACACACCGCAAAAGAGUUACAUCAUAUGGAUCUCCAAGAGAUCACUGUAUUGAGAAUUCAGAGAGAGAGAGAGAGAGAUGAAGCCAUCUAGCUACUAACUACGGACCCGAAGGUCUACCAAGAACUACUCACGCAUCAUCGGAGAGGCACCAAUGGAGGUGGUGAACCCCAUCCGAGAUGGUGUCUAGAUUGGAUCUGGUGGUUCUGGACUCUGCGGCGGCUGGAUGAAUAUUUUGUAGACACCCCUAGGGUUUUGGGAAUAUUGGGGUAUUUAUAGAGCAAAGAGGCGGUCCGGGGGGCACCCGAGGUGGGCACAACCGACGAGGGCGCGUCUGGGCCUCCUGGUGCACCCUGGUGGGUUGUGCUCUCCUUGUAGCACCCCUAGGCGCAGCCAGGGCCCAUUAAUUAUAUUCCUUCUGUUCCAAAAAAAAUCUCCGUGAAGUUUCGUUGCGUUUGGACUCCGUCUGAUAUUGAUUUCCUGCGAUGUAAAAAACAUGCAGAAAACAGCAACUGGCAUUUGGCACUAUGUCAAUAGGUUAGUACCAAAAAAGAUAUAAAAUGACUAUAAAAUGAUUAUAAAACAUCCAAGAUUGAUAAUAUAACAGCAUGGAACAAUAAAAAAUUAUAGAUACGUUGGAGACGUAUCAGCAUCCCCAAGCUUAACUCCUACUCGUCCUCGAGUAGGUAAGUGAUAAAAACAGAAUUUUUCAUGUGGAAUGCUGCCUAACAUGUCAUAUCAUAAUCUUUUCUUUAUAGCAUGGACAUUUGGACUUUUAUGUGAUUCAAAGCAAAAGUCUAGUUUUGAAAUGAUAAUUUAAAUACUCAUGCAUAUCAACAAGCAACCAUGUCUUUCAAAAUAUCAAUGCUAAAAUAAGUUAUCCCUAGCCCAUCAUGCUCAACCAUUGAUCCAUUCAUGAAACACACUCGCAUAUUAGUUACACCCAAUACUUAAGUACAAUCAUAUUGCCUCCUAGUUGGUGCUUUUAUAAAAGAAGAUGGAGACUCAAAUUCAAAAUAAAAAUUGCAUAAAGUAAAAGAAAGGCCCUUCACAGAGGGAAGUAGGGAUUUGUAGAGGUGCCAGAGCUCAAAGCGAAAAACUUAGAGAUAAAAACAUUUUGGGAGGUGUAUCCAUCCCACCAACGAAAACGACUUAGAGUUCCCAACACUUUCCAUACUAGAUAUAUCAUAGGCGGUUCCCAAACAGAAAAUAAAGGUUAUUCCUUUUUCCACCAUACUUUCACUUUCCAUGGCUAACCGUAUCCACGGGUGCCUUCCAUACCAACACUUUCCAAGGAAUUUAUUAUUUGACAACAUAAAGUAAAUUCAUUUUUCAUUUCGGGACUGGGCAUCCGUAAUACCUUUGCCUUACUCUCGUGCAAUGACAAGUGAAUAAACACUCAUCCUGAGAAUAACACAUCUGGCAUGGAAAAUAUUAGCCACCCCUCACUGCUCCGCGAGCGAAACAAACACACAAAAGAGAAGUUUAUUUUGAAAAUUAGAGAUGGCACAUGCAAAUUUUCUUAGAACGGCAAAAGAAUACCGCAUAUAGGUAGAUAUAGUGGACUCAUGUGGCACAACUGGUUUAAAGGUUUUUGGAUGCAGAGGUAGAGAUCAUACUUAGUGCAAAAUGAAGGCUAGCAAAAGAUUGAGAAGCGACCAACCAAGAAACGGAUAAUCUCAUAAGCAAGCAUUAAGCAUAAAUAACACCGAAUAAUGCACCACAAGUUGGAUAUAAUUUCAUUGCAUGACUAUUCACUUUCGUGCUUGCAUAGGGAAUCACAAACCUUAACACCAAUAUUCUUACUAAAGCAUAAUUACUCAUCAACAUAACCCACAUAUCACAUCAUCAUAUCUCAAAACUAUUACUAAUAAUCAAGUUUAUUUUGUCCAAUGAUCUUCAUGAAAGUUUUUAUUAUGCCCUUCUUGGAUAUCUAUCACUUUGGGACUAAUUUUCAUGUGUUGCUUUUCAUAAGCUCAAACAAAUAUAAGUGAAGAUCAUGAGCAUAAUUUUUUUUCUUUCUCUCAAAAUAAUUUAAGUGAAGCAAGAGAGAAUUUCUUGAAAAUUUUACUAACUCUCAAAGAAAUCUAAGUGAAGCAAGAGAGCAUUUCUUCAAAAAUACUAAGCACACCGUGCUCAAAAAGAUAUAAGUGAAGCACUAGAGCAAGUCCCUAGCUCAUACAAAUUUGAGUGAAGCAUAGAGAGCAAUUCUAACAAGUCAUGACAUAAUUUUGGCUCUCCCAUAUAGGUGUGUCCAGCAAGGGAUCAAGACUUAAAACAUAAAAUAAAACAAGCAAAGACUCAUAUCAUACAAGACGCUCCAAGCAAAACACAUAGUAUGUGACGAAUAAAAAUAUAGCUUCGAGUAAAAUACCGAUGGUCGUUAGAAGAAAGAGGGGAUGCCACUCGGGGUCAUCCACAAGCUUAGUUGGUUCCUAAUUUUUGUAUAAUAGCUUGGGAUGCCGGGGCAUCCCCAAGCUUAGGCUCUUCUACUUCUUACUCCUUCAUCCAUCGUAAGAUAACACAAUACUUGAAAACUUCAAUCACACAAAACUCAACAAAACCUUCGUGAGAUCCGUUAGUAAAAGAAAGCAAAUCACUACUAAAAGUAGUGUAACAAACCAAUUCAUAUUUUGUUUUUGCAUUAUAUCUACAAUAUUCCAACUUUUCUAUGGCAAAAACUCAUCAAAGAAAACCAUAGAGCCAUGAAAAUAAGCACACAACGCAAAGAAAACAGAAUCUGUCAAAACAGAGUAGUCUGUAACAAUCUGACUAUUUCAAAAACUUCUGGAACUCCAAAAAUUCUGAAAAAACAGGACGAUCAGACCAAUUUGUAUAUUAAUCUUCUGCAAAAAGAAUUGGCAUUUUAUCAUGCUCUGGUAAACAUAAGAAUUGUUUUCGUGAGCGCAAAAGUUUCUAUUUUUCAGCAAGAUCAAACAACUAUCACCCAAGAAGAUCCUACCAGUUCUACUUGGCACAAACACUAAUUAAAACACAAAAAACACAAUCAUAACAGUAGCAUAAUUGUGCUAAUACUCAAGAACAGAAAGCAAAAAGCAAAAAUAAAUUUUAUUCAUUUGGUUGCCUCCCAACAAGCGCUAUAGUUUUACGCCCUUAGCUAGGCAUAAAGCAAGGAUCUAAUUUUGUCAUCUUUGUCCAACUCUUCAAUCAAACACUUAGAAUCCUUCAAAGAUUUAGCAUGAAGAUCUUCAAUAACAACACUCCUAGGAAUAAAUUCAAAGAUUUCAUUCUUGCAAAAAGGAUCUCUUAUCACUUCAACAAAACCCGGGUGAAUACGAAUCAUCUUAAGAUCUUCUUUAUUACUAUUACUAGAAGUUGCACCCUUGUUCUUCGUGACCUUGCCAAUCUUUACGGGAGUUUUUUUUGAUAGUUUAGCAGAAGCGAAAGCCAUGCUUAGAUUACAAAAAAUUUCUUCUAAUUUAUCGAUCCGAGACGGGUUUUCUUCCAUUCUUUCAUGGAUUACGGCACCAUUUUCUUUUAACAACUUAAAAAUAUCUCCCGCUUUUGACCCAAUCUUGGUGGCAAUAUUAUGCAUCUUUUUAUCUAUAAUUUCCAUAUAAUCUUCGGUGAGCAUUUUCUUUUCAAUAGCAUCUAGUCUUUCCAUAACAUGCUCAAGAGUCAAAGUUGUUUCAUUAAUCAUGAGAGGUGGUGAGCCCACUAAAUUUCCCAUAGCAUUAAAAGCAUCAAGAAAAGGACACAUCAAGAAAUUUCCACCGGUAAUUGUAUCAAGGACGAAUCUGUACCAAGUGGUGAUGCCAACAUAAAAACAACAGAGAAGAACAAUGGUAGAUUGCUUACGGAUAGAUCUAUUAUGAGCAUUGCAAAUCCUAUACCAAGCAUCCUUUAAAUUUUCUCCUCCCCUUUGUUUAAAGUUGAGAACCUUGUUCUCGAGAGUGCAAGCAAUAGAGGAAGAACUAUCCAUAACGAUAAUUACGGCAAACAAGAUUGCACUCCAAAAAAGAUCCGGCAAGAAAACGGCGAACAGAAAAGAAGGGCGAAUAAAACGGCAAAUUUUUGUGAAGUGGGGGAGAGGAAAAUGAGAGCCAAAUAGAAAAUAAUGUAAAUUGCGAGGAGAUGACAUUUGUGAUUACGAACCUGGUAUAUGUUGAAGAUCCUCCUCGGCAACGGCGCCGGAAAUUCCUUUUGAUGUCGCUUGAAGCUACGUCGGUAUUUCCCCAAAGAGGAAGGGAUGAUGCAACACAGCGGCGGUAGGUAUUUCCCUCAGAUAUGAAACCAAGGUUAUCGAACCAGUAGGAGAACCAAGCAACACAACGUAAACAGCCCCUGCACACACAUAACAAAUCCUUGCAACCCGACGUGUUAAAGGGGUUGUCAAUUGUGACGCCCGAAUACUUAAGCUACAAUGAACCCCUGUUAAUGAUGCCAAGUCAUCAUAAUUAAAUUUUUGCUAACCUCACUUGUUUCAAACUAGAGUUAAAAUUAAAAUUCAAAUAACAAGUUAAAUAAUAAUUUGUUAAACAGUAUAUUAAAAAUGUUCAAAAGGUUGUAAAUAUUCACUAACUAAAUAACAAACAUCAACCAACAUUAUUGGGAAUGUUUAUAUGCCUCUAGGAUAAUUAAAGCAGAAGCAAAUAACAUUUAAAUUAACCAUUUAAAUAUAAACAAAUAGUUAUCAUUUUCAAAAUGAUUUGAAACUUUGUGUGCAGCUCCAUUAUGUGACCCAAUAUUUAUGUGCCAAAUUUUGUAUUCAACGAAAUUCAUUUGAUAGCUGGAACUAAAUAGAAAAUAUAUAUAGUAAAAAGAAAAUGAAGACGACACUAUGCACUUGCGGCCUGGUCGCUACAGGCGCAUGCCCAGCCCACCAGCGCCUUUGUCUCCCUCUCCUGUUCAUCCAUGGCGCUGGUAGUGCGCGCACGCCGUCCACGCCACCGAUCGUCGCCGUGUCAAGCAUCCACUCCCUCCUCAUGACGGAUAAGUACCCCCCCCCACGACGCCCAGGACGGACCCUAGUGCCAUUCAUUCCUUUCCCCGCGCCGCUUCUCUUAUCUCCCACGCGAAUCAGAGGGUAGCCGUCGCCAUGGAUUUGCUGCCGGCGUAGCCACCGUGCUCCCCUCGUCACUCCACCUUGUCCAGAAGAUGUAGGCCAUCGUCCUCGACUUCAACGUGGACUGCCUCGAGCCGAAACGCCAAGACGAUGCCGCAUCUGUCGAUCCCCUUCGUCGGCAACCGCCACUGCUCGUCUUCGAUUUGCCCAUCUCCGAGCAGCUCCGGCGUCCUAGAGCCCUCCACGAGCUUCUAUGUGAGCUUCACUUCCUCCCCUGCAUCUUCUUAAGCACGAGCCCGAGCUCUAACAUGCCCCUGCCGCCUCUAGUAGCUUGCUUUCGCCGGCAACGGUACAGCCGCAGCCACAACACCCGCCGCUCGCGUCCGAACUCGCGGUCAUGCUCAACGCAACCGCAGGGACCCAACGCAGCACACUGUUUGCCUUGCCGUGCCCUGCAUCGCCAUUCGCCAUCACGCUCGGCUCCGGCCGUCGCCUCUGCUCGACGCUAUCACCACCGCAGACCACCACCGGCCACGCCCGUGCACGCCCACGGUGGCGACCACCUGCUGUUGCACGCGCGCACACCCUUCUUCCCGGGCCGCGCCCGCUGCCAGUCGCACUCAUACGCGUGUCGCGCGCGCAAUCGACGCCCCGCCGCGCGGUGCUGCUCUCGCUCGACGCGCUCCCCGCACCCGCGCCUCGCGUGCCCCCUGUCCACUCGCAGCCCCCCACGAACAGCCCGCGCUGCCGCCGGCCGCCCCUGCCUCGUUCCCGUCUCUAGCCGCCGUGCCUCGCUGGCCUCUAGUGCUGCUGCCGCCGCGUUGUUACUUGCUGCUGCCUAGCCGCUGCUUCUACUAAAGAUUUGCCGCUACUGCCGCUCGUGCCGCCAGCCUGAAGCCACUGCCGCCUGCCCGCGCCCUCCUUCUCCGCCUAGCGCUUGCCAGAUCCGCUCGCCGUGCCCGCUCAUGCCUCGCCCGGCCACCGCACGGCUCGCUCCGGCGCCCCGCCCGUGCAGCCCCGCUGCCGCCUGAACGCCGCCGCGCCGGCCUCUACCCAGCGCCGUGCCCCUCCUGUACAUCGCGCGCUGCGUCCCUUGCUCCCCGCCACGCCUCGCGCCGCGCCUCACCGGGCCCUCCCGCUGGCCGCUCGCCCUGCCGCCUCCCAGCGCCUCCCCUGCCGCUUGCGCCCUCUGCCAUGGCCUCUGGCCACCGGUGUCUAACCGCCGGUCUAAAUGGCCAUUAAGGCACUAACCCCCCCUCUAACCCGAUGACGUGUGGGCUCCUUCCGCCUAACUUUUGGUUAAAAAAAUAUAUAAUCUAAGUGGUGGCUAUGAUAGUGGGGCCCCAGCCCUAAUUAGUUUAAUUUAAACACUUUGUUAAAGUUAUGACGCACUGACUGUGGGACCCCCGGUACCCGCUGACCAGUCAACGUUGACUGCUGACUGGGCAGUCAACGGGGCCCACUGUCAGCCCUUGUACACUGCUGGGUGCACUGGACCGGGUGCUCUUAGCCUUUUCCUUUUAUUUUUCGAAAUUAAAUAAAUUCUAGAAUAUUUGUAAAACUUUGAAAAAUCAUAUAAAAUAAUCCGUAAUUCGGAUGAAAAAACUUUGUACAUGAAAGUUGCUCAGAACGACGAGACGAAUCCGGAUACGUAGCCCGUUUGUGCGCCACACAUCCCUAGCAUAGCGAACACGCAACUUUCCCCCUCUGGUUCAUCUGUCCGAAAACGCGAAACACCGGGGAUACUUUCCCGGAUGUUUUCCCCCCUUCGCCGGUAUCACCUCCUACUGCGUUAGGGCACACUUGGCACCAUUACUUGUCUUGUCAUGCACCGUCAUGCUUAUGUUUGCAUUAUAUUCAUUGUUUCUUCCCCCUCUUCUUCUCCGGUAGACCCCGAGACCGGCGCUGAUGCCACCGAGUACGACUACGUCAUCGACGACCCUUCUCCCGGUACAACAGAGCUUCCAGGCAAGCCCCACCUUGAUCACCAGAUAUCGCCUAUUCCUUCUCUCUACUGCUUGCAUUAGAGUAGUGUAGCAUGUUACUGCUUUCGGUUAAUCCUAUUCUGCUGCAUGGCCUGUCAUUGUUGCUACAGUUAUUACCCUUACCUGCUAUCCUACUGCUUAGUAUAGGAUGCUAGUGUUCCAUCAGUGGCCCUACGCUCUUGUCCGUCUGCCAUGCUAUACUACUGGGCCGUGAUCACUUCGGGAGGUGAUCUCGGGCAUAUGCUAUAUACUUUAUACUGUUACAUUACUUAUGAUACUGUUCGGAGAUGGGGGCUGAAGGGGCAGGUGGCUCCAUCCCGGUAGAGGUGGGCCUGGGUUCCCGACGGCCCCCGACUGUUACUUUAUGGUGGAGCGACAGGGCAGGUUGAGACCGCCUAUGAGAGAGGUGGGCCUGGCCCUGGUCGGCGUCCGCGGUUACUUAAAAAUAACACGCUUAACGAGAUCUUGGUAUUUGAUCUGAGUCUGGCCAUUUGGUCUAUACGCACUAACCAACUACGCGGGAACAGUUAUGGGCACUCGACGUCGUGGUAUCAGCCGAAGCCUUCGUGACGUCAGCGACGGAGCGGCGCGCGCCGGAUUGGACCGGAAUGCCUGCUAGGCUAGGUCUGCUUCCGGCCGCCCUCGCAACGUGCAGGUGUGCAAUGGGCGAUGGGCCCAGACCCCUGCGCCAUAGGAUUUAGACCGGCGUGCUGACCUCUCUGUUGUGCCUAGGUAGGGCUGCGACGUGUUGAUCUUCCGAGGCCGGGCAUGACCUAGGAAAGUGUGUCCGGCCAAAUGGGAUCGAGCGUGUUGGGUUAUGUGGUGCACCCCUGCAGGGAAGUUUAUCUAUUCGAAUAGCCGUGUCCCUCGGUAAAAGGACGACCCGGAGUUGUACCUUGACCUUAUGACAACUAGAACCGGAUACUUAAUAAAACACACCCUUCCAAGUACCAGAUAUAACCCAGUGAUCGCUCUCUAACAGGGCGACGAGGAGGGGAUCGCCGGGUAGGAUUAUGCUAUGCGAUGCUACUUGGUGAACUUACCAUCUACUCUCUCCUACAUGCUGCAAGAUGGAGGUGGCCAGAAGCGUAGUCUUCGACAGGAUUAGCUAUCCCCCUCUUAUUCUGGCAUUCUGCAGUUCAGUCCACCGAUAUGGCCCUUUGCACAUAUACCCAUGCAUAUGUAGUGUAGCUCCUUGCUUGCGAGUACUUUGGAUGAGUACUCACGGUUGCUUUUAUCCCUCUUUUCCCCCUUUCCUUUGUACCUGGUUGUUGCAACCAGAUGCUGGAGCCCAGGAGCCACACGCCACCGCCGACGACGACUCCUACUACACCGGAGGUGCCUACUACUACGUGUAGCCCGCUGACGACAACCAGGAGUAGUUUAGGAGGAUCCCAGGCAGGAGGCCUGCGCCUCUUUCGAUCUGUAUCCCAGUUUGUGCUAGCCUUCUUAAGGCAGACUUGUUUAACCUAUGUCUGUACUCAGAUAUUGUUGCUUCCGCUGACUCGUCUAUGAUCGAGCACUUGUAUUCGAGCCCUCGAGGCCCCUGGCUUGUAUUAUGAUGCUUGUAUGACUUAUUUAUGUUUUAGAGUUGUGUUGUGAUAUCUUCCCGUGAGUCCCUGAUCUUGAUCGUACACAUUUGCGUGCAUGAUUAGUGUACGAUUGAAUCGGGGGCGUCACAAGUUGGUAUCAGAGCCGACUGCCUGUAGGAAUCCCUCUUCCACACUCCUUGGCCGAAGUUGAGUCUAGUCAGUGAAAACUAUUUUACUAACAUGGCUGUGUGGCUUACGGGCCCACGUCGCCAUUGGGUGGUAGUAGGAUCUUUUAUUCCUCAACCUAUACUCUGGGACUCUGACAUCUCUUCUAUUCGGGUUAAACAAUUUUACUAACUCUGACUCUAGGUUCUCGAUAAUACUUUCUCCCGAAGAGCCCCUUAUUGCAGAUGAUUGUCUGCUGCACCAGAAGGAUCCGAAGAUACUCUCCGAUGUUCUCUUGAGACUUUAUGGCGUCGCUUUUGCAAUUCCCCUCCAUCGAUAAACCCCUAUGGAUAACCACGUAUACUCGCCAUUCAUACAAUGCUUCCUAGUUGAUCUUGUUAUUACAAGAUACACCGAAAUUCUCUCUAUUGUUUCAAGAAUACUUUGUGCCUACUGCCUUGCAGUUCUUUGCGACAUGAAUACCCCUACGGAUAAUUCCUCGCUCUUACCGAGUAUCCGCUCAUCCGUAGUUUUUCAUGUGUUUCACAAAAUUCUUCAAAAUACUAUCCGAUCUUUCGAGAAUCCUCAUUCGCCUAUGGCUCUUGAAAUGCUUGUCUGCCUGCAUUUUGGUUAAUUCCAAAUGGCUAGCAAUAUUCAUGGAUGUCCUUUGCCUUUAUCAUCUUGGGUCCCUUGAUUCAAUAUGUUGCGAAUGUUGCAAUCAUUAAUCAGAUCCUAGAAUUCAUCCUUUCGGCUCAGACGUCAUUUUAAACAUGAGCUGGAUCUCGACCAAUCAGAUUGCCAUUGAUUGUACCCCUAAGCCUACUCAACUUAUCCAUCCUUGAUCAGAGCGUUGCUUCUGAUCCCCUGAUUUGGAAAUCAUAAUUCUUUUGCAUUUGGACUUUGAAUUAGUCAGUUGUUUCUAUAAUCAGAUCUCCUUGCAUUCUUCUUCCUCUGGUUGAGUACCGAUGCUCACAUCAAAUCCCUUGUGGACCAUCGGUUCCUUUGUUGGAUUUUAUCCGACAGUGUCCUUCAUAUUGAAUAACCUUGUGAGCCUUUCCAUGGGUAUAUAAUGCCUUUGGUAAGUUGUAUCAUCUGCUUUUGAACAAUGCUCUACUUUCGAGCUUGUAUUAUUUACUCCGAAGUUUGUGGUAUAUGUUCCUAAGAUGCCCUGAUGGGUUGAACCUACGCCUUCCCUAAUCCGUGUGAACCCGAAAGAUUACACGGGUCAUCCUUAUCUGGUAUUGCACCAGGUAAAAACUUUCAACAACUAAUGUCAUUUUCGAAAUACGAGAGGUGAAUGGAAGGUUAUACAUUGAAGAAGUGGGAGUCGACCUUGAACUUGUGUUCAUGCCCAUGGACCCGAUGUGGAACUUAUCAUGGAAGCUUCUCGCAAAAUAUUUAAUCAUUUGGGUAAUUCUUUUGGUGUCAUUAAAUUGGAUCCCCUGCAGCUAUGGUUCCGACCAUAUUCUUCUUCUUUGAUCCCAUUUCUCAGACGAGUUGAAGUACUUGUCUUCUGCAGGUCAAUACAUCUAUCCAACCUCUAUUCUACUCUACCUUCGAGUAUACCCUCAGGUAUCUCGAGAAUAUCACGGCUUCUUAUGAGUUCUUCAUCAACUAUUAUUCUCGCCGAUUCCAGUGCCCCCGGGUUAUGAGUUAGUAGUCAUUUGAGAACACUGAUAAGUGAAUCGAUUCAGCACGCCGAUUCAAUAAUUCUAUUCGUGGCUUAUGAGUUUAAUAAUCCUUCAAGUCAUUCCUAGCCUUAUCGGCUAUAUCAUUAUCGUGCAAACUUUUAACUAUGCUACCUGGUCCUUCCCGGAGCACAACUUUCGACGAUGAGCUAAGCUUAUGUCGAUCUUCCUUGUCUUAUCGUUUCACCUCGAACGGCAAGCUUGAUUCCUAGUUGGUGUUGUAUCUGUAGUUCCAAUAGUCUUUUGCUGCAUCAGUCCUUCUGCUUGAGCAGGCGCUGUUCGAUUACAUCUUCCUGAAACCUCUCGGCAAAUGUGUCGUGAUCAUCAUCUACAUUCGGAGCUCUUCCAAGAUAUCUAUCGAAUUCUUGAUGAGAAAUACGUCCUUGCCCCUUGAUGGUUUGUGUUAUCAUCGGCAACGUUAUUGCCCCCCUCCAAUUCAGACUUGAUCAUGUUAUGGAGCUCUUUCCUAUCUAGCUUAUGUUAUGUUCUACAUUGAAGUAUUACUGUCCUUCAUGUCAAGGAUGUUGUGAGGAUUGCUCCACCUCUUAAGAAUUCCUGAUAUAGUAAUACUUCUCACCAUCUCCAUUUAUUUCCAGGUUCACGUGUUGAUUCUAACCGGGAUACCAACAGGUGAACUGUGUUGUUCGGAUUCUAAAACUUCUAGCAACCCUAUUGCUUUGAAGUCAAUGGCCGAUAGUUUCAUUCUAAGUCUUUUGGUUAUCGAGUCACCAUUCUAACAUUGAUCAUGCUACCUAAGCCCAUAUUUUGGGUGUAAUUUUCAACCAAUGUUUAAUUAUGUAUGUUUUGCUCGAGCAUACACCAUUAUACCAUUUGAUCUGGCAAAUGUUAUCCCCAUGUUCACAUAAUUGUGGAAAUCCAUCUGUUUGGAAAAUUGGAUGAUUUGUCGUCGAGUCCAUCAGCCACCUCCUCUUCCUCUCCUUGGUUUAAUGAUGAACUCUUGUUUCGGAACUCGCUUCCAUAGUUCAUUGCCCGAGAAUCUUACAAUGUCAUCUCGACAAUUUGUGUUGAACCUUUUCUUCUCAAACAUCCUGAGCCUGAGGUACCCUGACACCAAUCAGAUCUGAAUCUCGGUCAGAUAUGAUGGUUGGAAUAUAUUUCCAAGAGUUAAACAUUGGUCUUUUAGAUGACCCGGUAAGAUGAUCUCAUGCCCAACACCCCUGGCCGUAGGACCUAUUAUUAUAGUUUCCUUUUUAGCAAGGUUAUCCAUUAUUCCUUGAGGAAAUUGUAAGGCUUAUUCUACAAGUUGUUCCUAAUGGAUCCUUCGUGUAUCCAGAGUCUGACCUUUACUUGAUGACCAUGUCAAUGCUAUCUCGAAGCAUGUUUGUGGUACUCUGAUCAUCGAUAAGAACAUUUGAAGCACCAUGCUAAAUUUCCUUUAUCAAUUAUUCAAACACCGUUGUUUGGGUAAUGUCAUGAACUUCCUAUCCCUUACCUAAAUGGUUUUCUACGUUAUAUCCUGACAUUGAUAUCAUGCUCUGCUUGUCCUUGGGAAGGAUAUACCCCUGAAAUAUGUGUUUAAACACAUUUUUCUUUCCAUUGUUUUGGUUAAUCUGAUAAUCAUAUUUUCUUUUCCAUUGUUUAGUUUAACCAUUCUUGUGAUCUAUAUGAUCUAAGCAGUAAUAUUCUCCUACUUAUGUAAACACCUCGUUGUACCACUCUAUCACUAAGAUCCUGUUACUAUUGUUGAUAACAUUCCGGUAACCACCGAUGGACGAGAACUUUGCCUAUUGGUCCGCCUCGUUCAACGAGCAGGAAAAUGGUUCUCUUCGUCCCUCGCCCUUGGUACCGACGUUGUUGCUGACAUAACUGACAGGCUAACCUCUGACAUGCCUUGCUAUCGUGACCGUGCAAGAUGUCAGCCCCCUUUCUAUUUUAAACCACAUGGUGGGCCCAUAACCCACAGUUCCACAGGAUCGAAACCCGACUCUACUGUACCCAUGUUCCCAAGGUUGUUCCUCACGCGUGGCCUCAUAUGUAAUUCAUGAUCCACCUUCCUUGAGAUGAUCUAAUCUAGUUUUAGCUGCGAUACAUAUUCUGUUGCUUUGAACCCCUCUCACACUCCGUUUCAGGCAUCGAACGUUUGCCUACCCGCUUGAAAAAUUCUCAUGACUAUUAUUAUUUCUCUCGAUGCAUUUUCUGAGAUCCAACUCGAGAGAUACUCAUGUGUUCAUCCAUGGGAUAACCCCUCGAUGAUUACCCCUUAUAGCCUUCUAUCGUUGUCGAGCUGCCCCUUACCUAUCGUAAGUACGUUGGAGUUCCCGAAGAAAAGGACGACUUUGCCACGAUGACCUGAAGCAGAGAAAUGAAGACAUCAACGUAAUGGAUCGACCUCUUGGAGAAGAGCAACCAAGACCGAGAAGAUCCGUUAGAAUUUCACAACCACAGAUUUCCCCUUACACCACCUCUUAAAUCUCGGGACGAGAUUUCUUGUAGUGGAGGAGAAUUGUGACGCCCGAAUACUUAAGCUACAAUGAACCCCUGUUAAUGAUGCCAAGUCAUCAUAAUUAAAUUUUUGCUAACCUCACUUGUUUCAAACUAGAGUUAAAAUUAAAAUUCAAAUAACAAGUUAAAUAAUAAUUUGUUAAAACAGUAUAUUAAAAAUGUUCAAAAGGUUGUAAAUAUUCACUAACUAAAUAACAAACAUCAACCAACAUUAUUGGGAAUGUUUAUAUGCCUCUAGGAUAAUUAAAGCAGAAGCAAAUAACAUUUAAAUUAACCAUUUAAAUAUAAACAAAUAGUUAUCAUUUUCAAAAUGAUUUGAAACUUUGUGUGCAGCUCCAUUAUGUGACCCAAUAUUUAUGUGCCAAAUUUUGUAUUCAACGAAAUUCAUUUGAUAGCUGGAACUAAAUAGAAAAUAGAAAUAGUAAAAAGAAAAUGAAGACGACACUAUGCACUUGCGGCAUGGUCGCUACAGGCGCAUGCCCAGCCCACCAGCGCCUUUGUCUCCCUCUCCUGUUCAUCCAUGGCGCUGGUAGUGCGCGCACGCCGUCCACGCCACGGAUGGUCGACGUGUCAAGCAUCCACUCCCUCCUCGUGACGGAUAAUUACCCCCCCACGACGCCCAGGACGAACCCUAGCGCCAUUCAUUCCCUCCCCCGCGCUGCUUCUCUUAUCUCCCACACGAAUCAAAGGGUAGCCGUCGCCAUGGAUUUGCUGCCGGCGUAGCCACCGUGCUCCCCUCGUCACUCCACCUUGUCCAGAAGACGUAGGCCAUCGUCCUCGACUUCAACGUGGACUGCCUCGAGCCGGAACGCCAAGACGAUGCCGCAUCUGUCGAUCCCCUCCGUCGGCAGCCGCCACUGCUCGUCUUCGAUUUGCCCAUCUCCGAGCAGCUCCGGCGUCCUAGAGCCCUCCACGAGCUUCUAUGUGAGCUUCACUUCCUCCCCUGCAUCUUCUUAAGCACGAGCCCGAGCUCUAACAUGCCCCUGCCGCCUCCAGUAGCUUGCUUUCACCGGCAACGGUACAGCCGCAGCCACAACACCCGCCGCUCGCGUCCGAACUCGCGGUCAUGCUCAACGCAACCGCAGGGACCCAACGCAGCACACUGUUUGCCUUGGCGUGCCCUGCAUUGCCAUUCGCCAUCACGCUCGGCUCCGGCCGUCGCCUCUGCUCGACGCUAUCACCACCGCAGACCAUCACCGGCCACGCCCGUGCACGCCCACGGCGGCGACCACCUGCUGUUGCACGCGCGCACACCCUCCUUCCCGGGCCGCGCCCGCUGCCAGUCGCACUCAUACGCGUGUCGCGCGUGCAAUCGACGCCCCGCCGCGCGGUGCUGCUCUCGCUCGACGCGCUCCCCGCACCCGCGCCUCGCGUGCCCCCUGUCCACUCGCAGCCCCCCACGAACAGCCCGCGCUGCCGCCGGCCGCCCCUGCCUCGUUCCCGUCUCUAGCCGCCGUGCCUCGCUGGCCUCCCGUGCUGCUGCCGCUGCGCUGUUACUUGCUGCUGCCUAGCCGCUGCUUCUACUGAAGAUUUGCCGCCACUGCCGCUCGUGCCGCCAGCCUGAAGCCACUGCCGCCUGCCUGAAGCCACUGCCGCCUGCCCGCGCCCUCCUGCUCCGCCUAGCGCUUGCCAGAUCCGCUCGCCGUGCCCGCUCAUGCCUCGCCCGGCCACAGCACGGCUCGCUCCGGCGCCCCGCCCGUGCAGCCCCGCUGCCGCCUGAACGCCGCCGCGCCGGCCUCUACCCAGCGCCGUGCCCCUCCUGUACAUCGCGCACCGCGUCCCUUGCUCCCCGCCACGCCUCGCGCCGCGCCUCACCGGGCCCUCCCGCUGGCCGCUCGCCCUGCCGCCUCCCAGCGCCUCCCCUGCCGCUUGCGCCCUCCGCCGUGGCCUCUGGCCACCGGUGUCUAACCGCCGGCCUAAAUGGCUAUUAAGGCACUAACCCCCCCUCUAACCCAAUGACGUGUGGGCUCCUUCCGCCUAACUUUUUGGUUAAAAACAUAUAUAAUCUAAGUGGUGCCUAUGACAGUGGGGCCCCAGCCCUAAUUAGUUUAAUUUAAACACUUUGUUAAAGUUAUGAGGCACUGACUGUGGGACCCCCUGUCCCCGUUGACCAGUCAACGUUGACUGCUGACUGGGCAGUCAAUGGGGCCCACUGUCAGCCCUUGUACACUGCUGGGUGCACUGGACCGGGUGCUCUUAGCCUUUUCCUUUUAUUUUUCGAAAUUAAAUAAAUUCUAGAAUAUUUGUAAAACUUUGAAAAAUCAUAUAAAAUAAUCCGUAACUUGGACGAAAAUUCUUUGUGCAUGAAAGUUGCUCAGAACGACGAGACGAAUCCGGAUACGUAGCCCGUUCGUCCGCCACACAUCCCUAGCAUAGCGAACACGCAACUUUCCCCCUCCGGUUCAUCUGUCCGAAAACGCAAAACACCGGGGAUACUUUCCCGGAUGUUUUCCCCCCUUCGCCGGUAUCACCUCCUACUGCGUUAGGGCACACCUGGCACCAUUACUUGUCUUGUCACGCACCGUCAUGCUUAUGUUUACAUUAUAUUUAUUGUUUCUUCCCCCUCUUCUUCUCCGGUAGACCCCGAGACUGGCGUUGAUACCACCGAGUACGACUACGUCAUCGACGACCCUUCUCCCGGUACAACAGAGCUUCCAGGCAAGCCCCCCCUUGAUCACCAGAUAUCGUCUAUUCUUUCUCUCUACUGCUUGCAUUAGAGUAGUGUAGCAUGUUACUGCUUUCGGUUAAUCCUAUUCUACUGCAUAGCCUGUCAGUUGCUACAGUUAUUACCCUUACCUGCUAUCCUACUUCUUAGUAUAGGAUGCUAGUGUUCCAUCAGUGGCCCUACGCUCUUGUCCGUCUGCCAUGCUAUACUACUGGGCCGUGAUCACUUCGGGAGGUGAUCUCGGGCAUAUGCUAUAUACUUUAUACUGUUACAUUACUUAUGAUACUGUUCGGAGAUGGGGGCUGAAGGGGCAGGUGGCUCCAUCCCGGUAGAGGUUGGACUGGGUUCCCGACGGCCCCCGACUGUUACUUUGUGGCGGAGCGACAGGGCAGGUUGAGACCGCCUAUGAGAGAGGUGGGCCUGGCCCUGGUCGGCGUCCGCGGUUACUUCAAAAUAACACGCUUAACGAGAUCUUGGUAUUUGAUCUGAGUCUGGCCAUUUGGUCUAUACGCACUAACCAACUACGCGGGAACAGUUAUGGGCACUCGACGUUGUGGUAUCAGCUGAAGCCUUCGUGACAUCAGCGACGGAGCGGCACACGCCGGAUUGGAGUGGAACGCCUGCUAGGCUAGGUCUGCUUCCGGCCGCCCUCGCAACGUGCAGGUGUGCAAUGGGCGAUGGGCCCAGACCCCUGCGCCAUAGGAUUUAGACCGGCGUGCUGACCUCUCUGUUGUGCCUAGGCAGGGCUGCGACGUGUUGAUCUUCUGAGGCCGGGCAUGACCCAGGAAAGUGUGUCCAGCCAAAUGGGAUCGAGCGUGUUGGGUUAUGUGGUGCACCCCUGCAGGGAAGUUUAUCUAUUCGGAUAGCCGUGUCCCUCGGUAAAAGGACGACCCGGAGUUGUACCUUGACCUUAUGACAACUAGAACCGGAUACUUAAUAAAACACACCCUUCCAGGUACCAGAUAUAACCCGGUGAUCACUCUCUAACAGGGCGACGAGGAGGGGAUCGCCGGGUAGGAUUAUGCUAUGCGAUGCUACUUGGUGAACUUACCAUCUACUCUCUUCUACAUGCUGCAAGAUGGAGGUGGCCAGAAGCGUAGUCUUCGACAGGAUUAGCUAUCCCCCUCUUAUUCUGGCAUUCUGCAGUUCAGUCCACCGAUAUGGCCCUUUGCACAUAUACCCAUGCAUAUGUAGUGUAGCUCCUUGCUUGCGAGUACUUUGGAUGAGUACUCACGGUUGCUUUUAUCCCUCUUUUCCCCCUUUCCUUUGUACUUGGUUGUCGCAACAAGAUGCUGGAGCCCAGGAGCCACACGCCACCGCCGCCGACGACUCCUACUACACCGGAGGUGCCUACUACUACGUGUAGCCCGCUGACGACAACCAGGAGUAGUUUAGGAGGAUCCCAGGCAGGAGGCCUGCGCCUCUUUCGAUCUGUAUCCCAGUUUGUGCUAGCCUUCUUAAGGCAUACUUGUUUAACCUAUGUCUGUACUCAGAUAUUGUUGCUUCCGCUGACUCGUCUAUGAUCGAGCACUUGUAUUCGAGCCCUCGAGGCCCCUGGCUUGUAUUAUGAUGCUUGUAUGACUUAUUUAUGUUUUAGAGUUGUGUUGUGAUAUCUUCCCGUGAGUCCCUGAUCUUGAUCGUACACAUUUGCGUGCAUGAUUAGUGUACAAUUGAAUCGGGGGCGUCACAUCAAUCCCUUCCGGGUACGGUGCCUCAAGAUAGGCAAACGGACGUGAGAUAAAAUUGUAGUAGAUUGAUGAUCGAACGCCAAAUAAAAUAAAUAAGAAUAAAUUGCGGCAAGGUUCUUUUGUAUUUUUUGGUUUAAUAGAUCUGAAAAUAAAUGCAAGGAAAAAGUAGAUCGCAAAGGCAAAUAUAUGAGAAAGAGACCCGGGGGCCGUAGGUUUCACUAGUGGCUUCUCUCGAGAAAAAUAGCAAACAGUGGGUGAACAAAGCAAUUGAUAGAACUUCAAAUACUCAUGACGAUAUCCAGGCAAUGAUCAUGAUAUAGGCAUCAUGUCCAAGAUUAGUAGACCGACUCCUGCCUGCAUCUACUACUAUUACUCCACACCUCGACGACUAUCCAGCAUGCAUCUAGUGUAUUAAGUUCAUGGAAAAACCGAGUAAUGCAAUAAGAAUGAUGACAUGAUGUAGACAAGAUCUAUCUAUGUAGAGAUAGACCCCAUCAUUUUAUCCUUAGUAGCAACGAUACAUACGUGUCGGUUCCCCUUCUGUCACUGGGAUCAAGCACCGUAAGAUCGAACCCACUACAAAGCACCUCUUCCAAUUGCAAGAUAAAUAGAUCAAGUUGGCCAAACAAAACCCGAAUAUCGGAGAAGAAAUACGAGGCUAUAAGCAAUCAUGCAUAUAAGAGAUCAAAGAAACUCAAAGAACUUUCAUGGAUAUAAAAAGAUAGAUCGGAUCAUAAACUCAAAGUUCAUCGAUCCCAACAAGCACACUGCAAAAGGUUUACAUCAUAUGGAUCUCUAAGAGACCAUUGUAUUGAGAAUUCAGAGAGAGAGAGAGAGAGAUGAAGCCAUCUAGCUACUAACUACGGACCCGAAGUUCUACAAAGAACUACUCACGCAUCAUCGGAGAGGCACCAAUGGAGGUGGUGAAACCCAUCCGAGAUUGUAACAUCCCAAAAUUAUAAAUUUUGGAAUGUUAUAAUAAAUAGAUAGAUUUGAUUUUUUGGUUGAUUGUUGUGUGAUUGAUUGACUGAACAUGAGUGAAUUCGAAACUUUUUGAAAGUUAAAUGAGAGGGAAUAAAAGGACUUUCCCAAACUUUCAUUUUGCAUUUAUGGUCUCCGGGAAUUCAAAUUCUUUUCAAAUACAAAAAACCCUAGAGCGAAGAUGGCAUGACUUCUUCCAUUUAUUUAAAUGAAAAGGGUUGUUUGAAAAUAUUUGAAUUCCAUUUGGAAAAUAUUUCCAAUUCAUAAACUUCAUGCAACUCAAGAUUUUCAUGAGAGAAGAUAAAAUGACUUCUUCAAAUUAUAUGAAAUAUGAGUUGGAAGUUUAAAAGGAUCAAUUUAAAGUCCUUUUGAAAAUUAUUUCCAAUUUAGAGUUAUUUGAGUUUUAUUCAAAUUAUUUUUCUCCAAAAAUAAAAUAUAUGGAAAUUAGGGUAACAUGAUUCCCUACAAGAGAAGAUUGGAGAGAAAUCAAUUUGAAUUUAUUUUGGUAUUUUUAAAAUGAUUUUUAUUAGGUUUUAUUGCAACAGCAGCACUCUCUGAUUUAUUUGAAUUUUUGUAGAUUUUAUUUGAUGCUAGAAAUAUGUUCACGUCAUAGAAAAUAAUUUUCUGAAAAUUUUGAUAUAUAAUAUGCCUAUAUGUUAUUUGUUUUUAUUUUAGUUAUUUAUUUAUUUUUUCGUUUGUUUGUGUUAAAAAAACUCUUCGAACAGUGCCAGGCCGAAGCCCCGCACUGCUCUCUCUCUCUCUCUCUGCACCAGGCCAGCCGGCCCAGCCGAGCAGCGGCCUGCGGCCGCGCCCGAAUCGCCUCCGUCUCGCUCGUCCGCUCGCACGCAGCUUCGCCCAGUCACCGACAGGUGGGGUCCACCUGUCGGGACCUUCUCCUACGCGCCACCAGAGUCCGACUCCAGCACUCCUCGCCGGCGACGCCGUGUCCAGGCGGGACUCCUCCUCCUCUACCCCCUCCCGCAAGCCGACCCCUCCUCCUAUUUAUACCGCCGCCCGAGCCCCGUUCCUCCUCCUUUGUCGCAAACCACAGCCGCCGCCGCCCUCACCGGAGUUCUAGCCUCCGACGAGAUCUGCCGCCGCCGCCGCGCCCCAUUCCGUCACCCUCAACCUCCGCCGACGCCGCCAUCGCCUUCCCCUCCUCGCGCUGCUUCUCCCCGACCCCGCGGCCAUGCCGGAGGACCGCUGGAGCAGCCACCCCGACGACCCCGCCGCCGCCGUCGUCUCCUUCUCCGGUGACGUCGACGCCCACCACCGCGGUAAGCCGCCGGUGCUCCUCGUCCGUCCGAUCUAGGUUAGAUGGAUAGGAUUAGAUUAGUUUUUUUAUUAUUCGAAUCGUUUUUCUUUACUUAGGGAACGUUCACUUCUUUGCCUUCGCAGCGAACGGUUUAUAACCAAUAGAUUUCUGACACGUGGCCAGGGACAUAGGUGUAGAUUUUAUUUUUUAGUUUAGUCCCUGAUUUUCAAAACACCACAACUUUUCAACCGUUAGUCCACAUUCGGUGAAACCAACGCCCACUUAUUCAUUAUGAUCCCCUCUAUCCAGUAAAACAACUUAAACAUGUUUUUGAAAGUUUAAAAUUUGAAUUCAAACAGAUUUGAGUUUGAACUUUGUUUGAUCAUGAUUUGAGUUUCGUAACUCUGUUUGAGUUGAUUCUUUUUGCAAAUUAAGGCUCUUGACCUAAACUUUCUGAUAAGGCCAAAUUGACAUAAUUUUGGUACUGUUAGAAAUUGUUUUAUGUUGCAAGAGUUAUUUGAUUGGUUUUGAUGUUUUCCGAUUUGUUUUCUUCGUUCUUUCCGACCUUUUGAGUGAUUGCUUAUGUGUUGUUACUAUUGAUUGCUUACGAUAGAUUGACCGGAGUGUGACGAGUAGAACUAUCAAGAUUUUUGAGUGCGAAUCAUCUUCCUCAACAGUACAGGCAAGUUCACACUUUGAUCAUAUCCCUUUCAUACUCAGUUUUUAUGCAUUAGUUUCACCCUCCAACAUUGCAUGAGUAGGAUUGAUAACAUGUGGGUAUUUGGGAAGUUGUUGAUGAGGUAGGAACCUAUUGCCCUGUAUUCAAACCUUGGGAGUUACUUCUACGUUGCUUAUAUUGCUAUGCUAUGCUCGUAGAUGUGUAUUGGGUUUGAGAGUAUUCAUGACAGAUGUGAGUAUUGUUAAUUAAUGGUUCAACUUAAGGUGGCAACUUAAAUACACAUCUGGGUGGAUUGAGGCACCUGGGGAACCCAGUGAUUGCCUGUAUUUUUUGGAAAUCCCGGGGUACCGUGUGAUUCUCCUAUGGACUGCCACCCAGGCUCAAAGGGAUCAUGAGAUUAUUCAUGCUAGAAACUUUCGUGUGCAGCCACAAGCUAUUAUGGGAUCUAGCAUAGUUGAUUAAGUCGUGUGAACUCUUAUAGUGGUAGACUAGCAGAUGUAGGGGAUGUAGGUGGUACUGUCUACCCACCGUAAGGUGCAAACGCUUCUGAAAGACUGUGUCUCGGUCAUCCGUUUCUCAAACACCAUGUAGUGCGAGAAAUCCAACGGAGGAGAUCGAGACUUGUGGGGAAAAGUGCGCAAACCUCUGCAGAGUGUACAAACUAAUCAUGGUUAGCCGUGUCCCCGGUUAUGGACAUCUUGAGUAUCUGGUUCUUGGAUUAUCAUGUUGAUCUCAUCACUUCAUAAUUAAUUUGUUGGGUUGUUAAUGAUUACUUUUAAUUGGGAUUGAGAGGGGGUUUACCUUCUCAAUAUUUUCAACCAACUUUGUAGUUAAAUAAAAUAUAUUCCUUUGCAGUAGGGAAAAAUUGGCUUUUCGCAAAAACCUUAUAAUCAUAGAGCUUUUCCACCAGCCAAAUAUGCAUGUAGUGAUAGCCUUUAUUCAUCAUUAUCCUAUGGUGUGAAUUUUCCAGUACAUUCAAUGUACUGAUCCUUUGUUGCUGCAACAUCUCAUGUUGCAGGACAUCUUACGACGAGUAAGUGAUACGUUAGGGUUAUGAUUUCUACACUCAACUUUGCCGUUGGUGUUGAUGGGAAUCCACAACCUUGUUACUUCCACUAUUUGGAUUGAGGUAAUAGUAUUUACGUUAUUUAUACAUGUGAUCUACCUCUGUUAUAAAUCCUCGAGUACUGUGUGUGUCAGCAUACCGAUCCAGGGAUGACACUUAAGCACAGAGACUUGAUCCAUUCGGGUCGGGUCGCUACAAAGAUGGUGUCUAGAUUCGAUCUGGUGGUUCUGGACUCUGCGUCGGCUGGAUGAAUAUUUUGUCGACUCCCCUAGGGUUUUGGGAAUAUUGGGGUAUUUAUAGAGCAAAGAGGCGAUCCGGGGGGCACCCGAGUUGGGCAGAACCCACUAGGGCGCGCCUGGGCCUCCUAGCGCGCCCUGGUGGGUUGUGCUCUCCUCGGAGCACCCCCACAGGCGCAGCCAGGGCCCAUUAAUUAUGUUCCUUCUGGUCCAAAAAAAUCUCCAUGAAGUUUCGUUGCGGUUGGACUCCGUCUGAUAUUGAUUUCCUACGAUGUAAAAAACAUGCAGAAAACAACAACUGGCACUUGGCACUAUGUCAAUAGGUUAGUACCAAAAAAGAUAUAAAAUGAUUAUAAAACAUCCAAGAUUGAUAAUGUAACAACAUGGAACAAUAAAAAACUAUAGAUACGUUGGAGACGUAUCAACAUCCCCAAGCUUAACUCCUACUCGUCCUCGAGUAGGUAAGUGAUAAAAACAGAAUUUUUGAUGUGGAAUGCUGCCUAACAUGUCAUAUCAUAAUCUUUUCUUUAUAGCAUGGACAUUUGGACUUUUAUGUGAUUCAAAGCAAAAGUCUAGUUUUGACAUGAUAAUUUAAAUACUCAAGCAUAUCAACAAGCAACCAUGUCUUUCGAAAUAUCAACGCUAAAAUAAGUUAUCCCUAGCCCAUCAUGCUCAACCAUUGAUCCAUUCAUGAAACACACUCGCAUAUUAGUUGCACCCAAUACUUAAGUAUGAUCAUAUUGCCUCCUAGUUGGUGCUUUUAUAAGAGAAGAUGGAGACUCAAAUUCAAAAUAAAAAUUGCAUAAAGUAAAAGAAAGGCCCUUCGCAGAGGGAAGUAGGGAUUUGUAGAUGUGCUAGAGCUCAAAGCGAAAAACUUAGAGAUAAAAACAUUUUGGGAGGUGUAUCCAUCCCACCAACGAAAACGACCUAGAGUUCCCAACACUUUCCAUGCUAGAUAUAUCAUAGGCGGUUCCCAAACAGAAAAUGAAGUUUAUUCCUUCUUCCACCAUACUUUCUUUCCAUGGCUAACCGUAUCCACGGGUGCCUUCCAUACCAACACUUUCGAAGGAAUUUAUUAUUUGACAACAUAAAGUAAAUUCAUUUUUCGUUUCGGGACUGGGCAUUCCUAAUACCUUUGCCUCACCCUCGUGCAAUGACAAGUGAAUAAACACUCAUCGUGAGAACAACACAUUUAGCAUGGAAAAUAUUAGCCAUCCCUCACUGCUCCGCGAGCGAAACAAACACACAAAAGAGAAGUUUAUUUUGAAAACUAGAGAUGACACACGCAAAUUUGCUUAGAAUGGCAAAAGAAUACCGCAUAUAGGUAGAUAUAGUGGACUCAUGUGGCAAAACUGGUUUAAAGGUUUUUGGAUGCACAAGUAGAGAUCAUACUUAGUGCAAAAUGAAGGCUAGCAAAAGAUUGAGAAGCGACCAACCAAGAAACGGAUAAUCUCAUAAGCAAGCAUUAAGCAUAAAUAACACCGAAUAAUGCACCACAAGUUGGAUAUAAUUUCAUUGCAUGACUAUUCACUUUCGUGCUUGCAUAGGGAAUCACAAACCUUAACACCAAUAUUCUUACUAAAGCAUAAUUACUCAUCAACAUAACCCACAUAUCACAUCGUCAUAUCUCAAAACUAUUACUAAGAAUCAAGUUUAUUUUGUCCAAUGAUCUUCAUGAAAGUUUUUAUUAUACCCUUCUUGGAUAUCUAUCACUUUGGGACUAAUUUUCAUGUGUUGCUUUUCAUAAGCUCAAAAAAAUAUAAGUGAAGAUCAUGAGCAUAAUUGUUUUUCUUUCUCUCAAAAUAAUUUAAGUGAAGCAAGAGAUAAUUUCUUGAAAAUUUUACUAACUCUCAAAUAAAUCUAAGUGAAGCAAGAGAGAAUUUCUUCAAAAAUACUAAGCACACCGUGCUCAAAAAGAUAUAAGUGAAGCACUAGAGCAAGUCCAUAGCUCAUACAAAAUUAAGUGAAGCAUAGAGAGCAAUUCUAACAAGUCAUGACAGAAUUUUGGCUCUCCCAAAUAGGUGUGUCCAGCAAGGGAUCAAGACUUAAAACACAAAAUAAAACACGCAAAGACUCAUAUCAUACAAGACGCUCCAAGAAAAAUAAAUAGUAUGUGACGAAUAAAAAUAUAGCUUCGAGAAAAAUACCGAUGGUCGUUAGAAGAAAGAGGGGAUGCCACUCGGGGGCAUCCCCAAGCUUAGUUGGUUGCUCAUUUUUGGAUAAUAGCUUGAGAUGCCGGGGCAUCCCCAAGCUUAGGCUCUUCUACUCCUUAUUCCUUCAUCCAUCGUAAGAUAACCCAAAACUUCAAAACUUCAAUCACACAAAACUCAACAAAACCUUCGUGAGAUCCGUUAGUAAAAGAACACAAAUCACUACUAUAAGUAGUGUACCAAACCAAUUCAUAUUUGGUUUUUGCAUUAUAUCGACUGUAUUCAAACUUUUCUAAGGCAAAAACUCAUCAAAGAAAACCAUAGGGCCAUCAAAAUAAGCACACAACGCAAAGAAAACAGAAUCUGUCGAAACCAAACAGUCUGUAACAAUCUGACUAUUUCAAAAACUUCUGGAACUCCAAAAAUUCUGAAAAAUAGGACGACCUGAGAAAUUUGUAUAUUAAUCUUCUGCAAAAAGAAUUGGCAUUUUAUCAUGCUCUGGUAAAAAAUAAGAAUAGUUUUCGUGAGUGCAAAAGUUUCUAUUUUUCAGCAAGAUCAAACAACUAUCACCCAAGAAGAUCCUAUCGGUUCUACUUUGCAUAAACACUAACUAAAACACAAAAAAACAAUCAUAACAGUAGAAUAAUUGUUCUAACACUCAAGAACAGAAGGGAAAAAGAAAAAAUAAAUUUUAUUCAUUGGGUUGCCUCCCAACAAGCGCUAUAGUUUUACGCCCUUAGCUAGGCAUAAAGCAAGGAUCUAAGUUUUGUCAUCUUUGUCCAACUCUUCAAUCAAACACUUAGAAUCCUUCGAAGAUUUAGCAUAAAGAUCUUCAAUAAUAACACUCCUAGGAAUAAAUUCAAAGAUUUCAUUCUUGCAAAAAGGAUCUCUUAUCACUUCAACAAAAUCCGGGUGAAUACCAAUCAUCUUAAGAUCUUCUUUGUUACUAUUACUAGAAUUCUGAUGAACCACAAGUGUAGGGGAUCUAUCGUAGUCUUUCGAUAAGUAAGAGUGUCGAACCCAACGAGGAGCAGAAGGAAAUGACAAGCGGUUUUCAGUAAGGUAUUCUCUGCAAGCACUGAAAUUAUCGGUAACAGAUAGUUUUGUGAUAAGGUAAUUUUUAACGGGUAACAAGUAAUGAAAGUAAAUAAGGUGCAACAAGAUGGCCCAAUCCUUUUUGUAGCAAAGGACAAGCCUGGACAAAUUCUUAUAUGAAAGAAAACGCUCCCGAGGACACAUGGGAAUUAUCGUCAUGCUAGUUUUCAUCAUGCUCAUAUGAUUCACGUUCGUUACUUUGAUAUUUUGAAUGUGGGUGGACCGGCGCUUGGGAACUGCCCUUCCUUGGACAAGAAUCCCACUUAUGAUUAACCCCUAUUGCAUGCAUCCGCAACUAUAAAAGAAGUAUUAAGGUAAACCUAACCAUAGCAUGAAACAUAUGGAUCCAAAUCAGCCCCUUACGAAGCAAUGCAUAAACUAGGGUUUAAGCUUCUGUCACUCUAGCAACCCAUCAUCUACUUAUUACUUCCCAAUGCCUUCCUCUAGGCCCAAACAAUGGUGAAGUGUCAUGUAGUCUACAUUCACAUAACACCACUAGAGGAAAGACAACAUACAUCUCAUCAAAAUAUCGAACGAAUACCAAAUUCACAUUACUACUUAUAGCAAGACUUCUCCCAUGUCCUCAGGAACAAACGUAACUACUCACAAAUCAUAUUCAUGUUCAUAAUCAGAGGGGUAUUAAUAUGCAUAAAGGAUCUGAACAUAUGAUCUUCCACCAAAUAAACCAACUAGCAUCAACUACAAGGAGUAAUCAACACUACUAGCAACCCACAGGUACCAAUCUGAGGUUUUGGGACAAAGAUUGGAUACAAGAGAUGAACUAGGGUUUGAGAGGAGAUGGUGCUGGUGAAGAUGUUGAUGGAGAUUGACCCCCUCCCGAUGAGAGCAUCGAUGGCGAUGACGAUGGUGAUGAUUUCCCCCUUCCGGAGGGAUGUUUCCCCGGCAGAAUAGCUCCGCCGGAGCCCUAGAUUGGUUCCGCCAAGGUUCCGCCUCGUGGUGGCGGUGUUUCGUCCCGAAAGCUUCAUUCUAAAUUUUUUCAGGGUGAAAGACUUCAUAUAGCAGAAGAUGGGCACCGGGCCUUCCAGGGGGCCCACGAGGCGGGGGCGCACCCCCCACCCUCGUGGAUGGUGGGUGGCCCCCCUCUGGUUUAUUCUUUCGCCAGUAUUUUUUAUUAAUUCCAAAAACUGCCUCCGUGAAGUUUCAAGACUUUUAGAGCUGUGCAGAAUAGGUCUCUAAUAUUUGUUUCUUUUCCAGCCCAGAAUUCUAGCUGCCGGCAUUCUCCCUCUUCAUGUAAACCUUGUAAAAUAAGAGAGAAUAGGUAUAAGUAUUGUGACAUAAUAUGUAAUAACAGCCCAUAAUGCAAUAAAUAUCGAUAUAAAAGCAUGAUGCAAAAUGGACGUAUCAAAGUCGCACCCUUGUUCUUGGUAACUUUGCCAAUCUUUACAGGAGUAUUUCGAUAGUUUUAGCGGAAGCGAAAGCCAUGCUUAGAUUACUAAAUAUUUCUUCUAAUGUAUCGAUUCGAGACGGGUUUUCUUCUAUUCUUUCAUGGAUUACGGUACCCUUUUCUUUUAACAACUUAAAAAUAACUCCCGCUUUUGACCCAAUCUUGGUGGCAAAAUUAUGCAUCUUUUUAUCUAUAAUUUCCAUAUGAUCUUCAGUGAGCAUUUUCUUUUCAAUAGCAUCUAGUCUUUCCAUAACAUGCUCAAGAGUCAAAGUUGUUUCAUUAAUCAUGAGAGGUGGUGAGCCCACUAAAUUUCCCAUAGCAUUAAAAGCAUCAAGAGAAGGACACAUCAAGAAAUUUCCACCGGUAAUUGUAUCAAGGACGAAUCUGUACCAAGUGGUGAUGCCAACAUAAAAACAACAAACAAGAACAACGGUAGAUUGCUUACGGAUAGAUCUAUUAUGAGCAUUGCAAAUCCUAUACCAAGCAUCCUUUAAAUUUUCUCCUCCCCUUUGUUUAAAGUUGAGAACCUUGUUCUCGGGAGUGCAAGCAAUAGAGGAAGAACUAUCCGUAACGAUAAUUACGGCAAACAAGAUUGCACUCAAAAACAGAUCCGGCAAGAAAACGGCGAACGGAAAAGAAGGGCGAAUAAAACGGCAAAUUAUUGUGAAGUGUGGGAGAGGAAAACGAGAGCCAAAUGGCAAAUAAUGUAAAUUGCGAGGAGAUGAGAUUUGUGAUUAGGAACCUGGUAUAUGUUGAAGAUCCUCCCCGGCAACGGCGUCAGAAAUUCCUUUUGAUGUCGCUUGAAGCUACGUCGGUAUUUCCCCAAAGAGGAAGGGUUGAUGCAGCACAACGGCGGUAGGUAUUUCCCUCAGGUAUGAAACCAAGGUUAUCGAACCAGUAGGAGAACCAAGCAACACAACGUAAACAACCCCUGCACACAGAUAACAAAUCCUCGCAACCCGACGUGUUCAAGGGGUUGUCAAUCCCUUCCGGGUACGACGCCUCAAGAUAGGCAAACAGACGUGAGAUAAAAUUGUAGUAGAUCGAUAGAUCGAAUGCCAAAUAAAAUAAAUAAGAAUAAAUUGCAGCAAGGUAUUUUUUGUAUUUUUGGUUUAAUAGUUCUGAAAAGAAAUGCAAGGAAAAAUUAGAUCUCAAAGGCAAAUAUAUGAGAAAGAGACCCGGGGGCCGUAGGUUUCACUAGUGGCUUCUCUCGAGAAAAAUAGCAGACGGUAGGUGAACAAAGCAAUUGAUAGAACUUCAAAUACUCAUUACGAUAUCCAGGCAAUGAUCAUUAUAUAGGCAUCACGUCCAAGAUUAGUAGACCGACUCCUGCCUGCAUCUACUACUAUUACUCCACACCUCGACCGCUAUCCAGCAUGCAUCUAGUGUAUUAAGUUCAUGGAAAAACGGAGUAAUGCAAUAAGAACGAUGACAUGAUGUAGACAAGAUCUAUCUAUGUAGAGAUAGACCCCAUCGUUUUAUCCUUAGUAGCAACGAUACAUACGUGUCAUUUCCCCUUCUAUCACUGGGAUCAAGCACCGUAAGAUCGAACCCACUACAAAGCACCUCUUCCCAUUGCAAGAUAAAUAGAUCAAGUUGGCCAAACAAAACCCAAAUAUUGGAGAAGAAAUACGAGGCUAUAAGCAAUCAUGCAUAUAAGAGAUCAAAGAAACUCAAAUAACUUUCAUGGAUAUAAAAAGAUAGAUCUGAUCAUAAACUCAAAGUUCAUCGAUCCCAACAAACACACCGCAAAAGAGUUACAUCAUAUGGAUCUCCAAGAGACCAUUGUAUUGAGAAUUCAGAGAGAGAGAGAGAGAGAGAGAUGAAGCCAUCUAGCUGCUAACUACGGACCCAAAGGGCUACAAGGAACUACUCACGCAUCAUCGGAGAGGCACCAAUGGAGGUGGUGAACCCCAUCUGAGAUGGUGUCUAGAUUGGAUCUGGUGGUUCUGGACUCUGCGGCGGCUGGAUCAUAUGGAUGAAUAUUUUGUCGACUCCCCUAGGGUUUUGGGAAUAUUGGGGUAUUUAUAGAGCAAAGAGGCGGUCCGAGGGGCACCCGAGGUGGGCACAACCCACCAGGGUGUGCCUGGGCCUCCUGGCGUGCCUUGGUGGGUUGUGCUCUCCUUGGAGCACCCCCCAGGCGCAGCCAGGGCCCAUUAUGUUCCCUCUGGUCCAAAAAAAUCUCCGUGAAGUUUCGUUGCGUUUGGACUCCGUCUGAUAUUGAUUUCCUGCGAUGUAAAAACAUGCAGAAAACAACAACUGGCACUUGGCACUAUGUCAAUAGGUUAGUACCAAAAAAUGAUGUAAAAUGACUAUAAAAUGAUUAUAAAACUUCCAAGAUUGAUAAUAUAACAGCAUGGAACAAUAAAAAAUUAUAGAUACGUUGGAGACGUAUCAAUAGGUAUUGCUUGGGUUGAUAAAUCAACCCAGGUGGGUUCUCGGGACUUAAUGGCCUCUUGUCCCUAGGAUCCAGUAUGUAAUCCUCCCAUUGUGGGUACCGCUCUCCUUUGCGCCCUGUAGCCUCGAGAGCAUGCUUGUCAGUGCUGACUUGACGUUUGGUGACGCGGGGAGGUCGGUUUUUAGUAGGUCGUCGGCCCACCUGCACCUUGAUAUGAUGCUACCGUCGGCUGCUGCAUCUCACCCUAUGCAUUUUAAAACUGAACCAAAAACCAUACCGAAAAUAAAUCAAACCGAACCAAUUUUAUGGUUUUUAUGGUUUCGGUACGGUAUCAACUUUUCAUACCGUUUUGAAUUCUGGUUUUUAUGGUAUAUACCCAAAAACCGAAUGGUUUACCGAAUAAACCGAAGUAAAAAAUAUAUGUAUAUAUCUUGGGGAGAACAACCAUACAAGUAGUCAUUUUUUGUAUAUAAGCUAGAUAUCCUGUUAAGCGCAUCCAUUUUUCUUGUAACGUAGUCAUACUUCUCUUCAGAAUAAUGCUAAGUACGUCCAUAACAUCGAAUCCAUGCAUGCAUAUACACUCGCAUAUAGUUAUAUACUUGAGUCAUAAAUUUGCAAACUAUUAUAUGUCAUUUUCAAAUUUGCGUCAACUUUGGUUUUUAUGGUAUAUAUAUACCGAAACCAUACAAAAAUAAUUUGGUAUAUACCGAAACCGAACCGUAUCUAAAUUUCAUACCAUAUAUACCAAAGUAUUAAUACCAUACAAACCGAAAAAACAUAUAAACCAAACCAUGUAAACCGAAUAAACCGAACGCACAGAGUGAGCUGCAUCCAUCUCAUCCAUGAGGUUCCUGCGGGGGUAUGAGGGAUGAUUGUUGGUCUCUAUCCAUGCUAGUCUGGCUUUAAGGACAUCCUUGGCUUGGAGGAGAUCGUCCCUCUGCGUCUCAAAGACGUUGAGAUUUGUUCUUUACUCUCUUGGAUGUAGUCAGCAGCCUUAAGCGUAGUGCGUCAUAGUCUGCAUUGCCUAGAGACUCGUUCAUGAUGUCUUCAUCCCCAGGCCUGAGGCUUCUUUUGAGGUCGUCGUCGGGAUUGUAAUCCUCACCAUCACCGGGUUUAUAAUCUCUAUCUUCGUCGUCGCCUCCGUGUCCCCUAACGCUGCCUUUACGACCAUUGAUAUUGUUACUGUUGCCAUCGACUCCCUUAUGGGGACUGUCGCUGCCCUUGCUGCCAGCGUUCUUACCAGGGAUGUCUCCUCCCCCAUUCUUGGGGGUGUCUACCAUGUCGACAUCACACGUGGGUGUUGCAGUCCAUCGGCCUGUGUUCUUGACGGUAGGUCAAGAAUUGUUUGAGGACUCUCCCACGUCGCCAUCCAUGUCGGGUGCCUUGUUGGAGGCGCUUGCAAGGAUGUUGGUUAAAUCUUCGAGUUGGCAACUACAUGGGUUGUGGGUGGGUCAAAAAUUCUGACCUCUCCCAAUUUUUCUAGAUCCGAUUGUAAAUCGAGUUCUGAUCGUCUGGGAUCACAAGCUGCUGAAUUCGAUCUAACAUCUCAUUCUGAAAUGCCUUGUCAUUUUCGUCCGUGUCCCGAUCGAGCAUCGGGACCAAAGGGAGCUUCACCGAGGUCCGAUCUGACAUGGACCUGGGUUCUUCAGCCGGAACCAGACUAGAUGCCUGGUUAUCGGGGGUUGUGCUCGGAUCCUGGCUCAAGACCGGAUCUGAGAUAUGGAUUGCACCAUCAUCCGGCUCCUGGACUGACUCCAGGGCUUAGGCCAAUGGGUCAUUGUGCUCCUCGAUCUAGUCUGAUGCGUAGUUGGAGAAAGCAGGCUCACCGUAAGAGUCAACGGCAUACUCCAGGUUGUCGAAUCUGAUGAUAUGACCUGGAGCAAAGUUGUCGACAUGGCUAAGGUGACCGGUUGAAUUCGUGAAGUGGGUAACACUGCUGAAGACAAAGAUUUGCCCGAGUAGAAAAGUCAUGCCGCAGCUGCCUUGAUCAUUGACCUGGAGGUGCACCAUCGAACUGCUUGUUCGCACACAAACACGUCACUGUGUACCCUUGACGCCGGGGUUGAUGCACCACAGCUCACGUCGAAGGAGAACCGUCCGGAAGCGCGGUAUGCAAGCAAUCUGGCGGGUGCUUUCUGAAGGAAAUAUGCCCUACAGGCAAUAAUAAAGUUGUUAUUUAUAUUUCAUUAUAUCAUGAUAAAUGUUUAUUAUUCAUGCUAGAAUUGUAUUAACCGGAAACUUGAUACAUGUGUGAAUACAUAGACAAAACAAAGUGUCCCUAGUAUGCCUCUACUAGACUAGCUCGUUAAUCAAAGAUGGUUAAGUUUCCUGACCAUAGACAUGUGUUCUCAUUUGAAGAAUGAGAUCACAUCAUUAGGAGAAUGAUGUGAUGGACAAGACCCAUCCGUUAGCUUAGCAUAAUGAUCGUUAAGUUUUAUUGCUAUUGCUUUCUUCAUGACUUUUACAUAUUCCUCUGACUAUGAGAUUAUGCAACUCCUGAAUACCGGAGGAACACCUUGUGUGCUAUCAAACGUCACAACAUAAUUGGGUGAUUAUAAAGAUGCGCUACAGGUGUCUCCGAAGGUGUUUGUUGGGUUGGCAUAGAUCAAGAUUAGGAUUUGUCACUCCGAGUAUCAGAGAGGUAUCUCUGGGCCCUCUCGGUAAUGCACAUCACUAUAAGCCUUGCAAGCAAUGUGACUAAUGAGUUAGUUACGGGGUGAUGCAUUACGGAACGAGUAAAGAUACUUGCCGGUAACGAGAUUGAACUAGGUAUGAUGAUACCGACGAUCGAAUCUCAGGCAAGUAACAUACCGAUGACAAAGGGAAUGACGUAUGUUGUUAUUGCGGUUUGACUGAUAAAGAUCUUCGUAGAAUCUGUAGGAACCAAUAUGAGCAUCCAGGUUCUGUUGUUGGUUAUUGAUCGGAGAUAUGUCUCGAUCAUGUCUACAUAGUUCCCGAACCCGUAGGGUCCGCACGCUUAACGUUCGAUGAUGAUUUGUAUUAUGAGUUGUGUGUUUUGGUGACCGAAGAUUGUUCGGAGUCCCGGAUGAGAUCACGGACAUGACAAGGAGUCUCAAAAUGGUCAAGAGGUAAAGAUUGAUAUAUUGGACGAUAGUAUUUGGACACCGGAAUGGUUUCUGGACGUUUCAGAUAUUUAUCGGAGUAUCGAGGGGUUACCGGAACCCCCCGAGGAAAGUAAUGGGCCUACAUGGGCCAUUGGGGAGAAGGGAGGCAGCCCACAAGGGGUGGUCGCGCCGCCCUCCCAUAGGGAGUCCGAAUUGGACUAGGGGAGGGGGGGCGCCCCCCUUUCCUUCUCCUCUUCCCUCUCCCUUCCCUUCUUUCCCCCUCCAUGAGAAGGAAUAAAGGGGGCGAAUCCUACUAGGACUGGGAGUCCUAGUAGGGCUCCCCCCUCGGCGUGCCCCCUAGGGCCGGCCUCCUUCCUCUCCCUCCUUUAUAUACGUGGGCAGGGCACCCCUUGGAGACACACUACUUGUUCUAAGCCGUGUGCGGAGUCUCCCUCCACGGUUUACUCCUCCGGUCAUAUUCACGUAGUGCUUAGGCGAAGCCCUGCGUGGAUCACAUUACCAUCACCAUCACCAUGAUGUCGUGCGGACAAAACUCUCCCUCGACCCUCUGCUGGAUCAAGAGUUCGAGGGACGUCAUCGAGCUGAACGUGUGCUGAACUUGGAGGUGUUGUACGUUCGGUACUUGAUCCGUUGGAUCGCGAAGACGUUCGACUACAUCAACCGUGUUACCCUAACGCUUCCGCUUUCUGUCUACGAGGGUACGUGGACACACUCUCCCCCUCUCGUUGCUAUGCAUUUCCUAGAUAGAUCUUGCGUGAUCAUAGGAAUUUUUUUAAAAUUGCAUGCUAUGUUUCCCAACAGUGGUAUCAGGGCCAGGUUUAUGCAUAGAUGAUAUGCACGAGUAGAACACAAAGUGUUGUCAACGAUAAUAGUCAUACUGCUUACCACCAACGUCUUAUUUUGAUUCGGCGGUAUUGUUGGAUGAAGCGGCCCGAACCAACCUUACAUGACCAUGUUCAUGAGACUGGUUCCACCGACAGACAUGCAACUUGUUUUGGAUAAAGGUGGCUGGUGGGUGUUUGUUUCUCCAACUUUAGUUGAAUCGAAUUUAACUACGGCCAGUCCUUGUUGAAGGUUAAAACAACACACUUGACGAAAAAUCGUUGUGUUUUUGAUGCGUAGGUAAAAACAGUUGUUGCUAGAAGCCCAUAGCAGCCACGUACAACUUGCAACAACAAAGUAGAGGAUGUCUAACUUGUUUUUGCAGGGCAUGUUGUGAUGUGAUAUGGUUAAGACAUGAUGUGAUAUAAGUUAUUGUAUGAGAUGAUCAUGUUUUGUAAAAGUUAUCGGCAACUGGCAGGAGCCUUAUGGUUGUCGCUUUAUUGUAUGAAAUGCAAUCGCCAUGUAAUUGAUUUACUUUAUCUCUAUGCGGUAGCGAUAGUUGUAGAAGCAAUAGUCGGUAAGACGACAACGACGCUACGAUGGAGAUCAAGGUGUCAAGCCGGUGACGAUGGAGAUCAUGACGAUGCUUUGGAGAUGGAGAUCAAAGGCACAAGAUGAUGAUCGUCAUAUCAUGUCACAUAUAUUUUGAUUGCAUGUGAUGUUUAUCUUUUAUGCAUCUUAUUUUGCCUAGUACGGUGGUAGCAUUAUAAGAUGAUCCCUCACUAAAUUUCAUGGUAUAAGUGUUCUCCCUGAGUAUGCACCGUUGCUACAGUUCGUCGUGCCGAGACACCACGUGAUGAUCGGGUGUGAUAAGCUCUAUGUUUACAUACAACGGGUGUAAGACAGUUUUGCACGUGCAGAAUACUCAGGUUAAACUUGACGAGCCUAGCAUAUACAGAUAUGGCAUCGGAACACUGAGACCGAAAGGUCGAACAUGAAUCAUAUAGUAGAUAUGAUCAACAUAGAGAUGUUCACCAUUGAAAACUACUCCAUCCCACGUGAUGAUCGGACAUGGUUUAGUUGAUAUGGACCACGUGAUCAUUUAGAUGACUAGAGGGAUGUCUAUAUGAGUGGGAUUUCUUAAGUAAUAUGAUUAAUUGAACUUAAAUUUAUCAUGAACUUAGUCCUGAUAGUUUUUUGCAUAUCUAUGUUGUUGUAGAUCAAUGGCCCAUGCUACCGUUCUCUUGAAUUUUAAUGCGCUCCUAGAGAAAGCUAAGUUGAAAGAUGAUGGUAGCAACUACACAGACUGGGUCCGUAACUUGAGGAUUAUCCUCAUUGCUGCACAAAAUAAUUAUGUCCUAGAAGCACCGCUAGGUGUAAGGCCUGUUGUAGGAGCAACUCCGGACGUUAUGAACGUCUGGCAAGCUAAAUCUGAUCACUAUUUGAUAGUUUAGUGUGCCAUGCUUUACGGCUUAGAAUCGGGACUUCAAAGACGUUUUGAACGUCAUGGAGCAUAUGAGAUGUUCCAAGAGUUGAAGUUAAUAUUUCAAGCAAAUGCCUGAGUUGAGAGAUAUGAAGUCUCCAACAAGUUCUAUUGCUGCAAGAUGGAGGAGAACAGUUCUGUCAGUGAACACAUACUCAGAAUGUCUGGGUACCAUAACCACUUGACUCAGCUGGGAUUUAAUCUUCCGGAUGAUAGUGUCAUUGACAGAGUUCUUCAAUCACUGCCACCAAGCUAUAAAGGCUUCAUGAUGAACUAUAAUAUGGAAGGGAUGGAAAAGACAAUUCCCGAGCUCUUCGCAAUGCUUAAGGCUACAGAGGUAGAAAUCAAGAAGGAGCAUCAAGUGUUGAUGGUUAACAAGACCACUAGUUUCAAGAAAAAGGGCAAAGGGAAGAAGGGGAACUUCAAGAAGAAUAGAAAGCAAGUUGCUACUCCCGGGCAGAAGCCCAAGUCUGGACCUAAGCCUGAAACUGAGUGCUUCUACUGCAAAGGGACUAGUCACUGGAAGCGGAACUGCCCCAAGUAUUUGGCGGAUAAGAAGGAUGGCAAAGUGAAAGGUAUAUUUGAUAUACAUGUUAUUGAUGUGUACCUUACUAAUGCUCAUAGUAGCGCCUGGGUAUUUGAUACUGGUUCUGUUGCUCAUAUUUGCAACUCGAUAUAGGGGCUACAGAUUAAACGAAGAUUGGCUAAGGACGAGGUGACGGUGCGCGUUGGAAAUGGUUCCAAGGUCGAUGUGAUCGUCGUCGGCACGCUACCUCUACAUCUACCUUUGGGAUUAGUUUUAGACCUGAAUAAUUGUUAUUUGGUUGCAGUGUUGAGCAUGAACAUUAUAUCUGGAUCUUGUUUGAUGCGAGACGGUUAUUCAUUUAAAUCAGAGAAUAAUGGUUGUUCUAUUUAUAUGAGCAAUAUCUUUUAUGGUCAUGCACCCUUGAUGAGUGGUCUAUUUUGUUGAAUCUCGAUCGUAGUGAUACACAUAUUCAUAAUAUUGAAGCCAAAAAAUGCAAAGUUAAUAAUGAUAGUGCAACUUAUUUGUGGCUCUGCCAUUUAGGUCAUAUUGGUGUAAAGCGCAUGAAGAAACUCCGUGCAGAUAGGCUUCCAGAAUCACUUGAUUAUGAAUCACUUGAUGCUUGCGAACCAUGCCUCAUGGGCAAGAUGACUAAGACUUCGUUCUCCGGUACAAUGGAGGGAGCCACUGACUUAUUGGAAAUAAUACAUACUGAUAUAUGCGGUCUGAUGAGUGUUGAGGCUCGUGGCGGGUAUCGUUAUUUUUUGACCUUCACAGAUGAUUUGAGCAGAUAUGGGUAUAUCUACUUGACGAAACAUAAGUCUGAAACAUUUGAAAAGUUCAAAGAAUUUCAGAGUGAAGUGGAAAAUCAUCGUAACAAGAAAAUAAAGUUUCUACGAUCUGAUCGCGGAGGCGAAUAUUUGAGUUACGAGUUUGGUCUUCAUUUGAAACAAUGUGGAAUAGUUUCGCAACUCACGCCACCUGGAACACCACAGCGUAAUGGUGUGUCCGAAUGUCGUAAUCAUACUUUAUUAGUUAUGGUGUGAUCUAUGAUGUCUCUUACCGAUUUACCACUACCGUUUUAGGGUUAUGCUUUAGAGACGGCUGCAUUCACGUUAAAUAGGGCACCAUCUAAAUCCGUUGAGAUGAUACCAUACGAACUGUGGUUUGGCAAGAAACCUAAACUGUCAUUUCUUAAAGUUUGGGGCUGCGAUGCUUAUGUGAAAAAGCUUCAACCUGAUAAGCUCGAACGCAAAUCGGAGAAAUGCGUCUUCAUGGGAUACCCAAAAGAAACUAUUGGGUACACCUUCUAUCACAGAUCCGAAGGCAAGACAUUUGUUGCUAAGAAUGGAUCCUUUCUAGAGAAGGAGUUUCUCUCGAAAGAAGUGAGUGGGAGGAAAGUAGAACUUGAUGAGGUAGUUGUACCUUCUCUCGAAUUUGAAAGUAGUUCAUCACAGAAGUCAGUUCCAGUGAUGCAUACACCAAUUAGUGAGGAAGCUAAUGAUGAUGAUCAUGAAACUUCAGAUCAAGUUACUACCAAACCUCGUAGGUCAACCAGAGUACGUUCCGUGCCAGAGUGGUACGGCAAUCCUGUUCUGGAAGUCAUGUUACUAGACCAUGACGAACCUACGAACUAUGAGGAAGCGAUGAUUGUCGGUGUCAAAACCGGCGGAUCUCGGGUAGGGGGUCCCGAAUUGCGCGUCUAAGGUUGAUGGUUACAGGAGAUAGGGGACACGAUGUUUACCCAGGUUUGGGCCCUCUCUAUGGAGGUAAUACCCUGAUACGUCUCCGUCGUAUCUACUUUUCCAACCACUUUUGCCAUUGUUUUGGACUCUAACUUGCAUGAUUUGAAUGGAACUAACCCGGACUGACGCUGUUUUCAGCAGAAUUGCCGUGGUGUUAUUUAUGUGCAGAAACAAAAGUUCUCGGAAUGACCUGAAACUUCACGGAGAUUGUUUUUGGAAAUAAUAAAAAAUACUGGCGAAAGAAUCAAGGCCAGGGGGCCCACACCCUUUCCAUGAGGGUGGGGGGCGCGCCCCCCUACCUCAUGGGCCCCCCUGGAGCUCCACCGACCUCAACUCCAACUCCAUAUAUUCGUGUUCGGGGAGCAAAAAAUCAAAGAAAAAGAUUCAUCACGUUUUAUGAUACGGAGCCGCCGCCAAGCCCUAAACUCUCUCGGGAGGGCUGAUCUAGAGUUCGUUCGGGGCUCCGGAGAGGGGAAUCCGUCGCCAUCGUCAUCAUCAACCAUCCUCCAUCACCAAUUUCAUGAUGCUCACCGCCGUGCGUGUGUAAUUCCAUCGUAGGCUUGCUGGACGGUGAAGGGUUGGAUGAGAUUUAUCAUGUAAUCGAGUUAGUUUUGUUAUGGUUUGAUCCCUAGUAUCCACUAUGUUCUGAAAUUGAUGUUGCUAUGACUUUGCUAUGCUUAAUGCUUGUCACUAGGGCCCGAGUGCCAUGAUUUCAGAUCUGAACCUAUUAUGUUUUCAUGAAUAUAUGUGAGUUCAUGAUCCUAUCUUGCAAGUCUAUAGUCACCUACUAUGUGUUAUGAUCCGGCAACCCCGAAGUGACAAUAAUCGGGACCACUCCCGGUGAUGACCUUAGUUUGAGGAGUUCAUGUAUUCACUAUGUGUUAAUGCUUUGGUCUGGUACUCUAUUAAAAGGAGGCCUUAAUAUCCCUUAGUUUCCGCUAGGACCCCGCUACCACGGGAGGGCAGAAAAAAAGAUGUCAUGCAAGUUCUUUUCCAUAAGCACAUAUGACUAUAUUCGGAAUACAUGCCUACAUUACAUUGAUGAAUUGGAGCUAGUUCUGUGUCACCCUAUGUUAUAACUGUUGCAUGAAUAAUCGCAUCCGACAUAAUUCUCCAUCACCGAUCCAUUGCCUACAAGCUUUUCAUAUAUCGUUCUCCGCUUAUUUACUUUUCCGUUGCUACUAUUACAAUCACUACAAAACCCAAAAAUAUUACUUUUGCUACUGUUAUUGUUACUUCCAUAUUACUUUGCUACUAAACACUUUGCUGCAGAUAUUAAUUUAUCCAGGUGUGGUUGAAUUGACAACUCAACUGCUAAUACUUGAGAAUAUUCUUUGGCUCCCCUUGUGUCGAAUCAAUAAAUUUGGGUUGAAUACUCUACCCUCGAAAACUGUUGCGAUCCCCUAUACUUGUGGGUUAUCAAGACUAUUUUCUGGCGCCGUUGCCGGGGAGCAUAGCUCUAUUCUUUGAGUAACUUGGGAUUUAUAUCUGCUGGUCACUAUGAAGAACUUGAAAGACACGAAAACAAAAAUUUAUCCCUCAACUAUGAGGGGAGGUAAGGAAUUGCCAUCUAGCUCUGCACUUGAUUCACCUUCUGUUUUGAGUAUGCUUGCGACACCUAAACCUGCUUCUGCUAUUAAUUCAGAUAUGUCACAUGUUAUUGAUGAUGCCACUUCUGCUAUGCAUGAUACUUAUGAUGAAACUACUUCCAUGCUUGAUACUACUGUGCCACUUGGUGAAUUUCUUGAUGAACAACUUGCUAGGGCUAGAGAGAAUGAAAUUAUUGAAACUGAUAAUAUUGAUGAAAGUGAUGAUGAAGAUUCUCCCCCUAAAUAUGAAUCGUCUGUUGUGCCUGAGGGCUAUGUUAUGGAUGAAGAAACUGCUAGAGACUUUCUUGCUUGCAAUGAUAGAAGUGAUCUUAAUAAAUUAUUAGCUAAGCUCAAACAAAAAACUCUGAAUGCUAGAAUGAAAUAUGAGCCUCCUUAUGCUACUUCACCUAUCUUUGUUACUGAUAAGGAUUAUGAAUUCUCUGUUGAUCCUGAUAUAAUUACUUUUGUUGAAUCUGAUCCUUUCUAUGGCUAUGAAUCUGAAACUGUUGUGGCACAUCUUACUAAAUUAAAUGAUAUAGCCACCCUGUUCACUAAUGAUGAGAAAACUCGCUACUACUAUAUCCUUAAAAUAUUUCCGUUCUCAUUAAAGGGUGAUGCUAAGAUAUGGUUAUUCUCUUGAUCCUGGUUUUGUGCGUAGUCCCCAGGAUAUGAUUUAUUACUUCUCUGCUAAAUAUUUCCCUGCUCAUAAGAAACAAGCUGCCUUAAGGGAAAUAUAUAAUUUUCUGCAAAUUGAAGAAGAGAGUCUCCCACAAGCUUGGGCGAGGCUUCUCCAAUUACUUAAUGCUUUGCCUGAUCAUCCUCUCAAGAAAAAUGAAAUACUUGAUAUCUUUUACAGUGGACUAACCGAUGCUUGUAGAGAUCACCUGGAUAGUUGUGCUGGUUCUGUUUUCAGGGAAAGAACACUAGAUGUAGCUGAAAUUCUAUUGAAUAAUAUGUUGACAAAUUAAAAUAAUUGGACACUUCCUGAACCAACUCCUAAGCCAACUCCGAAGAAAAGGGGUGUUCUAUUUCUCGGUCAUGAAGAUAUGCAAGAGGCAAAGAAAUCUAUGAAAGAAAAGGGUAUAAAAGCUGAAGAUGUUAAGAAUUUACCUCCUGUUGAAGAAAUACAUGGUCUUAAUUUACCGCCUGUUGUAGAAAUAUAUGGUCUUAAUUCAUCACCUAUUGAAGAAACACAUGGCCUUGAUAACCCGACACAGGUAGUAAAGGUAAAUUCUCCCUAUAGAUAUGAUAAAGCUGAAAUCCCUCCUACUAAAUUUGCUAGCCAAUGUUUGGAUGAGUUUGAUAACUUUAUGAUUAAGGAAGAAGAUUUUAAUGCUUAUUUUGGUAUACAAUUAAAACAAAAUGCUUAUAUGAUUGAACACUUGAGUGAUUAUAUGUCUAGAGUUAAAGGUGAACUUAAACUCAUUAGUAAACGUGCUUCUAUGGUUACCACUCAAGUAGAACAAGUACUUAAAGCUCAGAAUGAUUUGCUCAAUGAAUUGAAUAGUAAGAAUAAUGAUUUUGCUGUUAGAGUGGCUACUAGAACUGGUAAAAUGACUCAGGAACCUCUGUAUCCUGAAGGCCAUCCUAAGAGAAUUGAGCAGGAUUCUUAGAGAAAUAAUAUUGAUGCACCUACUCCUUCCAAAAAGAAGAAAAAGAAAAUGAUAGGACUUUGCAUGCUUCUAGUGAACCUGUUGUAGACACACCUGAGAAUCCCAAUGAUAUUUCUAUUUCUGAUGUUGAAACACAAUCUGGUAAUGAACAUGAACCUAAUGAUAAUGUUAAUGAUGAUGUUCAUGUCAAUGUUCAACCUAGUAAUGAUAAUGAUGUAGAAAUUGAACCUGCUAUUGAUCUUGAUAACCCACAAUCAAAGAAUCAACGCUAUGAUAAGAGAGACUUUGUUGCUAGGAAACACGGUAAGGAAAGAGAGCCAUGGGUUCAGAAACCCAUGCCCUUUCCUCCUAAACCAUCAAAGAAAAAGGAUGAUGAGGAUUUUGAGCGCUUUGCUGAAAUGAUUAGACCUAUCUUCUUGCGUAUGCGUUUAACCGAUAUGCUCAAAAUGAAUCCUUAUGCUAAGUAUAUGAAAGAAAUUGUUACUAAUAAAAGAAAGAUACCGGAAGCUGAAAUUUCCACCAUGCUUGCUAAUUAUAGUUUUAAGGGUGGAAUACCAAAGAAACUUGGAGAUCCAGGAGUACCCACUAUACCAUGCUCCAUUAAAAGAAAUCUUUAUGUGAUCUUGGAGCCGGUGUUAGUGUUAUGCCUCUCUCUUUAUAUCGUAGACUUGAUUUGAAUAAGUUGACACCUACUGAAAUAUCUUUGCAAAUGGCUGAUAAAUCAAAUGCUAUACCUGUCCGUAUCUGUGAGGAUGUGCCUGCUGUGGUUGCAAACGUUACUAUUUUAACGGACUUUGUUAUUCUUGAUAUUCCCGAGGAUGCUAGUAUGUCUAUUAUUCUGGAAGACCCUUUUUGAAUACUGCAGGGGCUGUUAUUGAUUGCAAUAAAGGCAAUGUCACUUUUCAUGUCAAUGGCAAUGAGCAUACGGUACACUUUUCAAGGAAACAACCUCAAGUCCACAGUAUAAAUUCUAUUGGAGAAAUUCCAUCGAUUAUUUUUGGAGGUUUUGAAUUUCCUCUUCCUACUGUCAAAAAGAGAUAUGAUAUUCUUAUUAUUGGGGACGUGCAUAUCCCCGUUGAGGUAACAUAGUCUUAUUCGAAAUUUCUCCGGUUCAUGUUACUCGAAAUGAGUUUGUUAACAAGACCUGAUCAACCUUGUUAGUGGAUUCCUUUUGAUGAGCAUGAGAUGGGUGAAGUUAGAAAGCACAACCUUCUGUACCCUCCUUUUACUUUUUGUUAUUUAGUUGAAAUAAAUUAAAAAUAGUAUUUUCUGUUAGUUUUCUGAAUUAUUCAUGCAAUAAAAAAGAUGCCCCGGAAAUAAAAGUUCUCCAAAUGCCCUGAAAUUGAAAUAUGAUUUUUUCUGGAAUAUUUGAGAAUAUCUGGCACUGAGAACACAGCAGGGGGAGCAAGCACCUGGCCACGAGGGCCCUGGGCGCGCCCCCCUACCUCGUGGGCCCAUGGUGGCUCCCCUCCACUUAUUCCUGCACCCACACACUCCUUCCUCCCCAAGAAUCACCAAACAGCUCAAGCAUGAGUUCUAGCUCAUUUUGCUGCAAUCUUCGAUCUCCUUGGUCAAAGCACCUCUCACAAAACUGCUUUGGGGGAUUGUUCCUUGGUAUGUGACUCCUCCAAUGGUCCAAUUAGUUUUGUUCUAGUGCUUUAUUCAUUGCAAAUUUGUGUUGCCUAGGUGACCAUGUUCUUGAGCUUGCAUGUCAAAUUUAUAUGGUUCCAAGUAGUUCUAAUGCAUGAUAUAGUCUCUAGGCACUUGUGGGAGUAGUUGCUAUCAAUUUUGUUGAGCUUGGUUCACUUUUAUUUGAAGUUACUAAAAUUUUCAGAAAUUUUUCAGAGGAAGAAAUAUGUUUAGGAAAAUGUACCAAGGUGGCCCUUCAAGGAAGCAAGGACCCAGGCUCGCAAUGCGCGAUGCCAACGAUGAACCACCAAGGGCCGCUCAAGUGCGAGCUUGUGAAUGGCCUUCAGAGGACUUCAUGGAUCGAGCAGGAAUCAAGGAAGAAUUUAACGCAUAUGUGCGUAACGCUGAUCUUGUGAGCUUCGAGGCAGAUGAUUGCCGUCAGUACCAUUAUCUCACUGAUUCCUUUCUGAGAAGGUUUGAAUUUUCAUCUUCACGCAAUUCUCAAACUGUCCUGUUUGAUCUCUAUGAAAAUUCUUACACUAUGGACUUAAAGGAUUUUAAUACUGCUUGCAAACUUCCACAAUGGGGUAGUCCUAGUGAACCUCGCAAAUCUGAAUUUAGAGAUUUUCUUGGUAGUAUAAAUGUGGGGGAAUCUAGAGAUAUAGCACAAGCUACCAUAGGGAGCAUUCAUUUUCCUGAUAUACAUUAUUUUGCUCUCUUCAUAGGUAGGUGCAUAAAUGGUAAGGAUGAAGCAUGUCACAUGUGUGUCCCCGACCUCAGUGUUCUCAGGAGCACUGUGUUAGGAGAUAAACAUUAUAAUUUGGGAUCCAUUGUUGCAUGUAGGUUGCAUAAUAAUAGAUUUAAUGAAGAUUUCUUUGGUGGAAUUUAUGCAACCCGUUUAGCUAAUUUUCUUAAUAUACCCAUACGUGAGUAUGAUAUUGAGUUGCCUCCUAUUUAUUUAGAUUAUGAGGCUAUGGUUCGUCAUCGUUUUGUUGAGAGGAACGAUCAGUUCCUCCAGUACCGACUAAUCUUUAAUAGACGACGCACCUAUCACGUCGCUCUCCCUGCUUCUACUUUCUUUGACUUCCAGGCAAAAGGGAGAUAUUUUAUAACCAAAGAGGAGGCCGACGAGUAUAAGAGGAGGACGGAGACAGCCCGCCUCCAAGCUGCAGCCCACGAUGCGAUAGCCACGGCAUCACAGUACGACCCCAGUUACAACUUCGGAUAUCCGCCAGGCCAGCCGUGGCAAUAGACCAACUUAGGCCAAAAGCCUAAGCUUGGAAGAGUACGUAUUUCUCACCGACAUUACAUUUAUGUUUACACACUCAUUGCUAGAUGUCGGUGCUCAUACUUUUUCACUGUAAUAUCCAUGCUAUUUUAUUUUCCUUUUUAUGCUUUCUUCUUGUGUGUUUGAAAAACCUUAAGAAAAAAGAAAAAAAAUUAGUUGUAGCGUUUAGCUAGUUUACUUUCUUGCUUGUAGUAGUAAUAAUUAAAAGAAAACCCAAAAAUAUUUCCUGUUCUUCUUUUUCUUGUUGGGAGCUUUGUGUACAUAGUUUUAUUUAUUUUCUUUGGGGGUCGAUAGGAGAAGAUCAUAAUGAAAUUGUUAAAGUGGCUCUUAUAUGCAUUAUUGUUGAUUUAACCAAGAGCCCGUAUUGCCUUGUCUUCUCCUGUUUAUUGAAUGCUCGCAGAUUCCAGCUUAGUCCAAUGCACGUGCACUAUUAUUGUUAUCCGCACCGUUCGGUCGUGCAAGCGAAAGGCAAUUAUGACGGUAUAUGAUGGACUGAUUGAGAUGAGAG
Molecule: long non-coding RNA, 76520 nt
Filed under: Triticum aestivum (bread wheat)
Lineage: Eukaryota; Viridiplantae; Streptophyta; Magnoliopsida; Poales; Poaceae
Description: long non-coding RNA (TAES_LNC004612)
Source: RNAcentral